UUAUAUCUUGACCCUCCAAAUUAUAAUUUAUUAUAAUUUUUGACUCAAAAUUUUAAAAUUAUUAUAUUUAAAUCUUAUAAUUCACUUUGAUUGGUUGAAUAAUGAAGUGUUACUAAUGACACGGUGACGUGCUACAAUUAAUAAGAUACCAUAUUGCUACCACACUAGCAAAUCAUCAGUAUUCAUUCUACUAAAUUAGACUGUAAAACUCAGUUAUAAUAAGUUAAAAAAAUUAAGUAAUAAAUUGUAACAAAUUAAAGUUGAACGUAACGAAUGUCACUGUACUCAAAGUUAGGUACCCUUGUUAUUAAGUUGAGAUAUUAUCUAGUUCUCAUGCAAUAUUAUAAUAAUACUAAUAAUAAUAAUAAUAAUAAUAAUAAUAAUGAAAAAUAUUUGGUAUGGGCUACAAAACUGGGUUCUACGUUUCGGUUGUCGCCCAUGGUUACGAGCAAUGGGUUUAAAGCAUUUUAUUUGCCGUGUACUUGCUCGGACGUUAAUAUGCUACGGACAAAAAUUUUAUGAGCACCGUGCCCAAACAAUUUGUUUAGGCACGGUGCCCGGAUGGGCGCCGUGUGUGUAGCAGUGCCCAUCCGCAGCCUCAAAAAAAAAAAAAAAAAAAUGGUGGGCUCGGUUUUUAGGUAGAGAGGAAAAAGGAGGGGGAAGGGAGGGUGCGGAUGAGGACCGCUGCACACGCGGUGCUCAUUGGGCACAUUUGUUUGGGCAGAGUGCCCAUAAAAUUUUUGUCCAUAUGCUACGCCCUUUAUUGAGUACAUUAAUUAAUUGAGCGAGUCAAAAUGUUGACCUUUACCUCAGUGUGUUUUGCCCUAUGAUAGAUUUUCCAGGAGUUUUUGUUUUUUAUUUUUUCCUUUGAGAAAUAUGUGGAACAUAACUAUCUUAUAUUCUCUUUUAAUUUUACUAUUCAAUCUUUCAAUCGGCUUGAUUUGAGUCAAUUAUUAAUACUUUAAUUUUAAAAUCUAAACUAAUUUUUUUGUUUUAAUGAAUUUUAUAGUUACGAAAAUUUUACAAAGUAUACCAAGUCUGUAAAAAUAAACGGUGAAGUCAAAUUGAACAAAUUAAAGGAUUGAAUAGCCGAUUCAAAGUAGGUAAGUUCUGUACAGUUUGAUGUUGCUCUAAUAUUAUAUUAAAUAAUUUGAAAUAAUUAUUUUAUCUCUAAAAAUUUAAAUUAAUGUGGAUCUAAUGGUUUAUAUGUUUUGUCUAUUUGAGUAUAAGUUUGAGCUAAUCAUUGAGUUUUUUUAAUUUUUAUAUAUUUUUUGUCAUUUUCGAUGAUGGACGCAGAUGAACAAACGUGAAACGUGAUUUAUUUUUAUUUCCUUUCUCCACGGAUCGAAACUCCCAGUCAAAUCCAACAACAUGGUUUUGUCAACGUCAACUGCACGCAUUUGUUGAUUAAAAACCAACUCGACGAAAUUUCUAGAAACAGUUUUUUUAAAAUAUAUAUUUUUUGCGGUACUUAAGUUCACCUUGCAAUUUUUUUUUUUUUUAAAUAAAUAGUAUGCUACUGUUUUAUUUAUUUAAAAAAUAAAUUUAAUUACAAAAUAGGACAGCAGUGGUCUCAUAAAAAAAAAAAAAAUUCAACAUGAAUUAUUACCGAAGCAGAAGCGAAACCAUAGAUCCUUAAGAGUUCUAAUCUCGAACAGCAAGUACCUCAACGAGUGUUUAGUAUUUGAAAAAAAAUUUCCGUUCCGCCCCAACCAAAAAACCCACAAAGUGACGGCGAUAGUCACUAACUCUCUACCCCCUUUAUACAUCCUUUGCAAUAGCUCACAUUCCAUAAUCCCUUGGAUGAUGAACAGUUCCGAAGAAAAUGUUUGGUAGUACUUUUCAGCAAAGCUGUAGAACAUGUACACCUUGAAAAGAGGUGGUCCAUCAUCUCCAUCUCGUCCAAACAGAAGAUGCAACCUUCCUCUCCCCUCCAAUCCCUUUUUAAAAAGUUAUCCGCUGUUAGUACCUUAUUUUUCACGACUAAUCAUAUAAAAAUUUUGACUUUAAGAGAGGAUCGAAUCGUCCACCAAUGGGUGAAGCUUUUAUCAAUUACACCACCACCUUGCAGUUACUUAAGUUCACUUUCGAAUUAUAGGUGGGAAAAGAUACAUACUUGGAGAAAGUUCAAUAAAAUAAUAUUCUAUUAUUUCUAAAAGUGAUAAGACAAUGUUCUAUUAAUUUUUUAAUUCUAUUUGAAUAUGAUUUAUGUGAUUACUAGAAAAAUAAAAAAAAAAAUAGUGGAGAGAUCACGACAUCUUGUGAAGUCAUAAUUCAUCAUCAUGUGCAAUUUUAUUUUUAUUCAAGAGUUAUAAUUAUCAUUCUGAAAUUUAAAAAUAUUUAUUAAAUUUUAAUAUUAAAAAUAUUCCUAAGGUGAAUUAUUGAAUGAAGGUGAAAAAAAAAUAACAUAUGUUAGUAGACCGAGAGCUCCGAGCAUGAUGGAUUUUGAAAUCCAUCAUGUUCGAAUCCAAGUUCGAAAUCCAAAUUCGAUAACUAAAUUAGAAAUCUGAGUUCGAAUCUGAACACGAUGGAUUUUGAAAAUCAACAAAAAACUCAGAAUUCGAAUCCGAACCCAAAAAAAUUAUGUGUCUUUACCAUAUUUCAAAAUAUUAUUAUAUUAAAAUCUAAUUUUAAAAUAUAAAUUUAAAUAUAAUAUUAAAUAUUCAUAUAUAUUAUAUAAUGUAAAAUCUAUUCAAGUUUCGGGUGGAUUUAGGAUCGUAUUGGGCACAGAGAAAAUUCCCUAUCCAAAUCUGAAAUUGUCAUGUACUUAGUUUUAUUCCCAUAUUCACAAUCAUAUUUAUUUAAAAUCAGAUAAAUCUAUUCUGUAUAGGUUUGGCACCCAUUGAUAUCUCUAUUUCCCACUAUUAAGUUCAAACCAAGAGAAUAGAGUGAUUUAUAUUUUAUAUUCAAUAUUCUCUCUCACGACGGCCUCAAAUUUUUUACGAAUGAGAUUAAAAGUUUAGACUAACUUUGAUUUCAAAAUCUUCUACUUCAAUGUCAUUUUACAGUCUGUCUCUAAACAUGUAAGCUGCUAACUAAAAAUAAUAUUUCAAGAUAUUAACACUCAGCAAGAGUUAUUUUAAGAUAAUCAUAACUCUGAUUUUUAAUCAGCAAUACUUUCAUCUAUAUUUAAGGAAAUUUUAAAGAACCUUUCAACUUUGUACAUUUUAUUUGACAUUAAUUUGAUGCACUACACUACCUCUUAUUUUGUGCCUAUCUUAUAGGCCAAUUUCAAGUCUCAAUAUUAAAUCCCACUUCUAAGUGAUAUCCUACCUUAACCAAUUUAACAAUUUCAUAUCCUAUACAUUAUAACCUCAUACAUAUCCAACAUGUUGGGAGAUUACUAAGGUCCUAAGUUAUUCACCAAAAUGCCCAUGCCUAAGAGUUUUUGGAAUUAAAGUAAAUUAACAAAUUAUAGAUCAUAAUUAUAAUGUGAGACUUGUGAAUUAUAUAUGUCAUCCACCUCCUCCCCUUUAAAAAAAAGAAAUUACCCGCUGUUCCCUAGAGCAAGUGGCAAAGGAUUUGGUGGUUAAUACCCGAGAUCCCAAGUUCGAAUGCUAGUUGAUUCAUAUUUCCAGAUAAGUUUAUUUCUAAAAAAAAUAAACGAAACGGGUAGUGUGCUAUCUAUCUCUCUCUAAAAAAAAAAGAAAUUAAAAGAAAUAGUUAUGUUCCACAAAACAAGUCAUAUUAGCAAAAGUUAAUCCUUAUUGAUCUUAGGUUUAGUUUGGUAUUGAGGCCUAUCUAACGCUAAUUUUUUUUUGAGAGAGAUAGAUAGUACGCUACCCGCUUCGUUUAUUUCAUUUAGAAAUAAAUUUAGCUGGAAAUAUGAGUCAACUAGGAUUCAAACUUGGGUCUCGGAUACCAACCACUAAGCCCCUUGCCACUUGCUCUAGGUACGGUCGGUCUAUCUAACGCUAUUAGAUAAAAUGGAGUUGAGGAAAAAGCAUAUAGAGAUAUGCUUCUGUGUUCUCUGGUGGGACCGUAGAAAAUAUAUUAUAACUGACUCAUCGCGAUAUACGGCAUGCAAUAUUACAUACGGUGCUUCUGUGUUUUUCGGUGGGACCGUAGAAAAUAUAUCAUAACCGACUCAUCGCGAUAUGCGGAAUGCAAUAUUACGUACGGAAACAAACAGAGUAUUUUUCCAACGUACUUUCUCACCGUACGUAACGCAAUCUUCCUGCAAUCUCAAACGAAGCCUUAAUUAUACUUCAAUUUUUGUUCUCCCUGCAAUCCCAAACGAAGCCUUAAUUAUACUUCAAUUUUUGUUUCAAUCAUCCCUUUGUCCAAUUAUGCUUAAUGUCGUGCUGAAUAUAAUUUUAUAAAAUAUCGCAUGAGUAAUCCUUUGCAUAUAGCAAUAUUUUCUCUACCGUAAUCUAUAGAUCACCGCGAACAUCAUCACUUAUAGAUUCAAUUAAAGUAUAAUUUAAAGUUUAGCCAAUUAAUUUAAAUAAAUUAAAACUCGGUGAUCCGAGAGAUAACUUGAGAUUUAUUUGUAAGGGAUAGUUUAAUUUUUCUCAUUUUUGUGAGCACAAAAAAAAUCACCAUAAAAAGAAGACAAAAGGAAACAAGAAUUAUUCGAAGAGUUAGGCCCAAGAAUACUUUUAAAACAAGCAAUUUACUUCCACGUUAUUUUUAAGGAUGGAGCAAUUUAAUCGACGAUCGAUAUCAUUAAACACAAUCUAAACUAUCUGAACUUUAUGGAAAGCAGAUUUAUAAUUUUAGCGAUCAACUGGUUUCAAAUUCAACUCAUAUUAAUAAUUAAAAAUUAUCAAUUUUUAGAAUUAUUCGAAUACUCAACAAAUGAUCUUGAAAAAUUAUGAAAAUUUGAUUUAAUUGCAUACAGCUCCUAAUAAAUAUAUCGAAUAGCAGAUAUAUCUCUAUAAAGUUCAACUUUUUAUUUUUAUUUUUACAAAAAUCUUACUGUUUUUAAAUAUUUUGCUGUUAGAAUCUAUUAGAAAAAUAUAGUUAACCAUUAGUAAAAUACUUAACCCUCAUUAGUGUAUGAGGUAAAUUGACUUUUUUAUCUCUCUUAUUUUACCGAGUAAAUUAUUUUUUUGGGAGACAUUUAUGCAAUUCUAGCCGUUGGAGCAUUUAGAGGGAUAUAUUUGUAAGGGCAAAAAUGUCAUAUUACUUAUCUGUGUACUCUAAUAAUAACUAGGGGCGAAUCCGGGGUCGGUAUGGUUCCCACCUCCUGCUCUAUUUCUUAUCGGGGCGGGACGGAUUUGGAGCGAGUUAUUUUUUAUUUUAUUUUUGGGUCCUACUUACCACCCUAUUCGGGGUGGGAGUGGAUUUUUUAUGGAUUAGAACGGAUUGAAGGAAUAAAAGGGUCUCCCGCAUCACGCUCUAUUUACUAAUGUAUCGGGACGGAUUAUAUUUUUUUAUAUUUUUUGUUCUCACUUCCAGCCCCAUUCUGGGCGGAUCGCGGCGGGAGCUCGACCAACCCGAAUCCAUUUGCAUUCCUACCGAUAACAAAUGUGAAUAUCAGUGCACUUUUGUAGAGAUAAAAAUAGAAAGUGGAGUUUUGUAUAGAUAUAUUUAUUAUAUAUUUACAGAAAGCUGCAGGCAAUUAGUCCUUACUAAAUUUGGAAUCUGGUCAAAGGGAGGAGCACAAGACCCCUGCUUGGUCAAAGUUCCUUGAUCCUAUUAUGAGGGAAAAAAAUUAAGCACCAAUAGCGUAGUGUGUGGGGGAGAGGUAGUUACGGUUAAAAGGGAGUGGGGAAAUAAGCAGUUUACGGUAGUUAAGGAACUCCACACGUACUAUACCCACAUCUAAAUUUAUGCACCAAAACUCUCCUAUAAAAUCCCUCCAAAACACUUGGAUUUGAAAUAAUAAAUAACUAAAUAAAUAAAUAAAUAAAUAAGAAAUAAGAGUACAAAUUAAAAUAAAAAAAUAAUAUAAGGAAAAGAUCACGCCAAAAAAAAAAAAAAAAAAAACAGUUUAGAGGUGAGAAUGGAGACUAAGCUCUUGGUGUUGCUGUACCUCAUCUUCCAUGGAUUACGAAUCGUCGACGGCGUUCGCCCGACCGGCCCCGGAAAUUUCAACGUGAUGAGCUUCGGAGCGCGCGGGGACGGGCUUCGUGAUGAUAGCAAGGUUCAUAAUCACCUCCUAAUCCUCUCUCUCUCUCUUCUUUUUUUUUUUUGCGCUUUCCUGAGCUAUGAGCUUUGAUGAUUAAUUUGUUUCAAUUUAUGAACUCAGUUAUUUCUUUUCUUUGCAAGAUUUAAUUGCACCGGUUUCUCCGUGUGCAUUGACAAUAUAACUCGUGCAUUUCGAUUCGCGUUUGCUUUAAAAUAAGAGAAAAAAUUAAACUUCUCCUAAAAGAGAAGCUAUGAGAUAAAAUGUACGUAUAUAGAGUCUUUGUUUGCUUCUUCUGCUUUCGCACGAUUAUCGUAUUAUUGUUCUACAGCUAGCCAAACAGGCCCUAGAGCGGUUUUUAAAAUUUUUGGUUUUUUUCUAUAAAAAAAUUUCUCUCUCUUAACAAAAUAUUCUCAUUUUAAAAAAAUUAUAUAUUAUUUUAUAUAUGGCUCAGGCAUUUCAAGAAACAUGGAAAGCAGCAUGCAAUUCUACAGGGAGUGUGAAGCUUGUGAUUCCAAAAGGGACGUACUUUCUCAGCCCUGUUAAGUUCAGGGGCCCAUGUGCAAAUGUGCAAUCCAUCACAGUCCAAUUGCAGGCAAGUUUCAAAUUUAAAAUUCACAAGUCAAUUUUCAAAUUUUCUCUCCUAAACUUAUCAAACAUAAAGGCAACAUAUGCAGAAUCUAUUCAAAGUGAUUUUUACAUAUAAAAUUUUAUGAUGCUGCUUAAUUCUUAGUAAAUAUAAAUUUUUACUAAAAUUUUUAAGGAAUGUGUUGUUGGGAUGUAAUUUGCAGGGAACGCUAAAGGCAACGACUGAUCUGAGUAAAUACAGGUCCGGGGGCUAUUGGGUCGAAUUCGGGUUCGUCGAUCACUUGACCGUAACCGGUGGGGGGACCCUUGAUGGCCAGGGUUCUCUCGCUUGGCCCCACAACAAAUGCCCUGUGAAAAAGGACUGCAAACUCCUACCUACUGUAAGAUUCACAUCGUAGCUAACGCAUUAGUAUCUGUUCUUAUCUGUCAUUUUCAACUGCAUGCAUCUGUUGCAUUCGCACAUUCGCGCACCCUAAUCUCAUCAUUCACUACCGUACUAAUAAGAUACGCUUUCUAUGGAUGCACAAAUGUAAAAAAACUCAGUAUCUGUUUGGCCUAGCUUUUACCUCUAUAUAUUUUUAACGAUAGCAAACUAACUUUGGCUAUUUCUUCGUUGUAGUCUUUGGCGUUCCUAGCGACAAACCACAGCAAAAUGAAGGACAUAACAUCGGUGAACAGCAAGUUCUUCCACAUUGCGCUGCUGAGCAACGCGAACUUCAAGGCGAGCGGCAUCAAGAUCGUCGCACCCGCGGAGAGCCCCAACACCGACGGCAUCCACCUCGAGCGCAACACGGCGGUCACCAUCUCCAACUCCAAGAUCGGGACGGGCGACGACUGCAUCUCCGUCGGCCAGGGCAACCACGACAUCACAAUCGCGGGAAUCAAGUGCGGGCCCGGACAUGGCAUCAGGUACCGAAAGACGCUUGAAAAUUGUAAUAUAUGAGAAAGUUCAGGAACUAAACUGUUGCGAUAUGCUUCGCAUAAACUAACCUUACGUUUCAAAUGAUUGUUUGUUCUAACUGUUGGUGGCCGCGGUGGUAAUGAUUGAUAGUGUCGGGAGCCUAGGGAAGUACGAGGACGAAGAAGACGUGACGGGACUCGUCGUAAAAGAUUGUACCCUCACCGGGACGGACAAUGGCGUCCGGAUAAAGACGUGGGAGAACUCUCCGAAGAGUACCAAGGCUUCGAACUUGACAUUCGAGAACAUCGAAAUGGAUAACGUACGCAACCCGAUCAUCAUCGACCAGACGUACUGCCCCUUCGCCAAAUGCCAGUCCGCGGUGAGCUCGAUAAACAUAGAUUGAAGCAAAAAAAAAAAAAAAAAAAAAAAAUCUGUAAAAUCGCGAGUUUCUAACUUUGGUGGACGCAAUGCAGGCGCCUUCGCGAGUGAAAAUCAGUGACAUUACGUUCAAGAACAUACGGGGGACGUCGACAUCGCCGGUCGCGGUGACACUGAAGUGCAGCAAGGGAAUACCGUGCGAGAACGUGAGCCUCCAGGACGUCCGUCUCGAGCACAACGGCCCGAACGGCACGACCGCGACAUGCGUCAACGUGAAAGCGGAGUACAGCGGGAUGCAGAACCCGCCGCCGUGCAAGGGUCCGGAUUCGGAGAACUAAGUUAAACACCCCUGCAGCAUGAGCAGCCCCUUAGCCUCCUCAAUAGUCACUUGUUAUAUUAUGCAUCAGAUAUGUUUCUGCACCCAUUUUGAAAUGAGGUGAUUCUUUUUAUUUUUUUCCUUUUUUUGUUAUAUAUAUUUAUGAGCACCAAACUUCAGGUUGUACCUGAGUGUUGUAACUGCAUUUCGGUCGUAGCAGCGGCUCUUGUUCUGCGUCGCUCUUCGUGAUCGAAUUGUAAAACUCGUUGAAAUAUAUACGUGUAAACCGAGAUUUUCAAAUCGAUAUCGAACUGAAUUGGUUUGUGCACUUUGAGUUUCUGGUUGUGUUUGUGUUCGACAAUCAGGCUAGUCAAUUACAAGUUGAGAAUUUUCUGAAACUUACAAAAUGGAAGCAACAAUUUCUCUCAAAUUCAUGUUUUUACACAAAUAAAUUUGCUCUCAAAAAAAUAGUAACAAUCAAUGCUUUGGAAUGACAUGAAUGGUGACUUAUUUACAACUUUUAUUCAGAGUAAAAUGAGACAUUAAUUAAUUCAUUAAUUGCUCAACCCCAGAAGUAACUUAUUAAAGUUAUAUAUAGUCAUCUAUGCUUGGUAGGAUAAGAAGCCAUUUUGUUUAUGCCACACAAACCCUCAGGUUUACCAGUGCUCCUCUUCAUCCUGAUGUACCCUCUCUCCCCCCAUCUUGGGCCCCAUGAGUUCUUCACUAUGAUGUAAUCCUGGUCCUUGGAUGAUCCGUAUCCGACGGCCGUCACGCCGUGAUCAAGGUUAGUCCCACAUGGUCCAUCAAAUACACCCUUGAUUAAUUGGCAUAAGAAAAAGUUAUUAUUAGGCAAAGCAAAAAUGUACCUUAGAGAACUAACAUGCAUGCAUUUUGAAUUAUUUUGAAAUUUUUGAUUUUACUGUCUAAUUUUUUCGAUGCAUAUAAUGCUUAACAAGCCAAAAAAUUGUAACUCAUUGGGUACUGUAGAUUGAACUAUAUAUCAGAUACAACAAAAGGCUAAUAAUUUACAAGAAUAAUCAGAUAACUUAAAUUACACAAAUUAAAAGACUAGAUAUUUAAAUUAUAACUUUUAAAAAUCACUUAAAAAUAUUUGCAAAUAAUUCAAAUUUCGAAUUAGUUAAUGACUUACUCCACUGUAAAAUUGGAAGUGCCUUCCUGAAGCCUCAAUACCAACACUAACAGGUUGGUGUGCUAAUGCCUUUAAGAGACUCUCCUCAUUGUUCUCUGGCACGUCUUCGUAGCCACUUAUAGUCACCACCUCAUGAUCACCCUUAAAAAUUAAAAAUAAAAACAAAUAAAAACAAUGCAUGUGUAUAUGUCACCCUCCGAGCCCACAGCGGAAACACUCACCUCUUCGUCAAAUCGAGUUGAGAUAACGAUCAUUUUAGUUUCGCGGACGUACAAAACUCUUUUUAAGGAGUGAGAGAUGUAAUGUACCAAAUUUUGGUAUGCUAUACUAAAUUUUGACCAAAUCGGAUGAAAUACGGUGGAGAGAUGAUUUAGACAUAUUUGAAAACAAGUUCCAAGCAUUUCGGAAACGAUUAGAAGUGAUGAAUUAGAACUCCAGGAAGUGAAAAUAGAAAUUUUUAGAAAAAUCAUUUAUGAGAUAUUCAACUCUCGGGAUCCGGACCUUGUAUUUCAUUUAGCAAAAUUCUCAAAUUCAAUUAAUUGUUAUGAUGUGAAUUUUUAGCUAUUUCAUAGUUUGUUCGGUGAUGAGUUUUAGUGAUAAUUUGGUACUCCGGCGAUAGAUUAUUUUUAGAGAUUGUUAGUGAAACACUCUAUUUUGGUGGUGCCCUAUAUACUUACUUUUAUUUUUUUUUCUUAAUAAAAGUCUAAGAGAGGUUUUUACCUACUCACAUUAUAUGCAUGUGAAUGAAACACAAUGUGAAUGUAACACAAUGCAUCAAAUAAAUGCAUAUACUCUUAUGGGGUACUUAAUUGGAUUUGCAUAAUUAUAAUUCAGUUGAAAAUAAAGUUAUGUAAAAGUAAAAAUAUUAGUCUUGCUAUUAACUAGCAUAAUGUCAGCUGAAUUAUGGAUAUUUCUGCGAAAGAUAAUUUGGAAUUUGUUCUCAUAUAUGCAAGAAUAUUUCUACUGAUGAUAAACUUGAUUUACGGUCGAAUCGCACUUUGUCGAUCGACACACCCCCCGUUACGUACCCUCAUUUCCUCGCAGGUGCCCUCUUCCAUGAGAUACGGGUAAUCGUCUUCGGUGUGCAGGCCGCCGCUGGCGACGAUGUACGAGAAGGCGUAGUCCAUCACCCCUCCGUUGCAGCCGUUGUUGUUCGGCCUGUCGCAGUCGAUUAGCUCUUGCUCCGACAGCGAUGUCAAGUUCCCCGUCACGAUUCGGUUUAUCCCUUCGACCGCCGCCACCGUCGAAAACGCCCAGCAACUUCCUGCAUGGAUCAAUUCGCUUCUAUUUGUUGCGCAUCAAACGAUCUAUCUAUACUUUCAAGUAUAUCACUAUCUACCGCGGACUCUUGUGAGAAAUUUGAAAAUAAAAUUAUUUACAGAGCUGAAUUUAUUAUUCAUAAUGUGUUUCUUAAAUUUGAUCAUCAUUCUAACUGAAUUCGAUCAAACUUUAAAGUAAGCAUUUGCGUCUGUGAUUUUUUAGCUGUCGAAUUGUCUUUAGAUCCGUACAGAACUAUAAGUGAUGUAUCUCAUCAAAUUUUAAUAGUACUGUAUGGAUCUCGAAGCGAUCUGAUGGCUAAAAAAAUUAUAAGCACGUUGAGCUUCUGUACUUUUAAAAGCACAUGAGCGCAACUCUCUCUCUAUGUGUUCUUACCACAAUUGCCUUGGUUCUUAACAUGCGUUACCGCGCCCUUCUUUCUCCAAUCCACCGAUUUCGGUAAGUCCACAACAUCCUUAUACCAAAAGGCGGAGUUUGCCGCACAUUUCCUCCUUGAUGCGUACUCGGCCCUCAGUCCAAAGUACUUCUCCUUGAACUCCUCAUGGCUCAAGUCUGCGAAUUCGUUGAGCCCUAGCCAAUAACUAGUCACCUUCUUGUUCGUCUCGUCGAUGUGCAUUAGAUUAUCCUUGAAGAUCUCGAAUCUGCGCAACUUUUCCUUAAAGCUCGAGUACGACUUGUCGUGCUUCUGCAUCCACGACUCGAAGAGGUCGAUGAGCUUGUCGUGGGAGCUCAGAUUGUCUUCAGCGUAGCCGAUGAUGGAGAAGCGAUCGUCCCUCGAUCCGAAGCGCGACGCAUGCCGCAAUCAGAAAGAAGAGAGGGAGAAGGGAGAAUUUCAUGUGAGAAAUGGCCAUGAUCAAUUUCUUUGGGUGUGCAAGAGAUGAGGUUCUUCUAGUACUUGUGUAUGUGUGAGAGGAGAGGUGUGGCAUUUAUAUGCAUGUAAAUUUGAGUCUCUUGUUGCUUACAAGCUAAGUUCUUGGUAGAUAAAUAGUUUAGUAAAGCUUAAAGGUUGGUUCAAUGAGGCUUUGCUUUUAAUCUACAAUAGGAUGUGGAAGAUAUAAACUAACUACUAACAGGUUGUUUUGUAGCCAAGUUUUAACAUGGAUGUAGAAAGCUUAAUGUUUCGCGUAUAGUCCGCAUUUAGUCCAAAGGUUCGAGUUCUCUAACACAUUUCGACCCUGUUUGGCCUAACUUCUGAAAGUAUAUUCGCACUUGCACAGUUGUGCCCGGCUAGUCCUAGAAGUCUCUCUUUCAACAUGAUUUGCUUGAAGAGUAAUGAUUUACGAAUAAUUACCAACCCUCCGGCCCAGCAUGGCCCCCCAGCCUGAAAGACACGAGCCACACCGGGCUUCGAGCUGGCCCCUUAAAGUUUUUAUUUUAUUUAUUUAUUUCUAUUUAAAUCUAUAUUUUAUUAUUUUGAUUAAAAAAAAGGUUGGGCCACGGAUUUUUGAAUUAUUCAUUGGUUAGGUCGGUGUUGGGCUGACUCUUGGGCCUGUAGAAACCGAGCCUGUUCGUAAAAUUAGUGGGCUAUGAAGUUUAGAAACUUUUUGGUUGCAUGAUAAAUAUAUAGACUCUUAUAUUAAAAAUAAAUACCCCCACAUCCUUGUUAAAAGCACAAGUAAUGGUAUAUAUUGAAGGGAUAAUUUCAUAGAUGCCCCUCUAGGAACUAUUAAUUUCAUCAAUACCCUUCCAAAAUUAAUAAUAUCACAAAUGCCCUCCAAAAUGUGAAAAAUUAUCAUAAAUACCCUCCUCUAGUUAAGAUCCCUUAAAGCCCAUUUGAAUCUGAGUUAAAUUUUUAAAAUACCAUUUUUACCCUUUAUCUCUUUUUAAUAGUAGAAAUACUAAUAGGUAUUUCAAAAUAAUUUUUGUAAAUCUAAAUUUGAGUAUUUAAUAUAUAAAUAGUAAAUUAAAUUAUUAAUAUAUAUUAAUUAAUAAAAAAUAUAUAAAAAUUGUAUUUUAAAUAUAGUAUGUUUUUAUCUGAUUUUGGUUUUGUUUUUGGUUUUGGGUUUCGGUUCAGAUUCGGUUUAAAUAUAGACCAAAACUGAAUUUACAUACGACGGGAUUUUAUUUUUUGGUACCUAUAACUAAAACUAUCCUUAUUCAGCAUUGAUUAAACUUAUCCCAUUUUAAAUCGAGUUUAGAUAAAAUUCCGUAUCUAUAUCAAUUCACAUUCCUAAUUAGUAAUAGUAAUUUUGAAAUAAAUUAUAGAUUUUAUUUUUUUCCUAUUUAAAAAUAAAUCACAUAAUUGUUUUGUCGAUUGAAAAAAAAGAGGGUUUUGUUCAAAAGCUAAAAUAUAUUAUAUUUCAGUUUUUUAAUACACUUAAUGCAGAUAAAAUUAUCGAGAAUAAUUUUGAUUAAAAAAUUUUUUAAGUUUUCAAGAUUAAAGAAAGAUCGGAUAAUUUCUUAACAUUAUUUUCAUUUAAAUUUUUAUAUAUAGUUAUUUAUUUGAUGAAAAAUAAAUAGAGCCAUUAGAUUUGGUAAAAUCAUCAAAAAAACCUAAAAAAUUCUUUUUUUUUUAUACACUGAAAUUAGAUUUUUUUUAAAAUAAAAAGUUAAUGGGAUAUCAACUAAAAAAUGAAAGUUGAGGGAGCUGUUUCAAAAUGGCAUAUAGUUGAGAGGGUUUCCAUACAUUUUUAGUUAAAAAAUAUUUGAGGGUAAAUAAGUCAUUUUAAAAAUUAACCAAUCUUUAACCAUGUAAUAACUAUAGUAAAACUAACAUAACUAACAGUAGGGGUAUUAAUGAUAAUUUUUUGUUUUUACAGGGGUAUUGGUGAUAUUUUAAACUUUAUAGGGGCAUGUAUGAUAUUUUAAAUUUUGGGAGGGGUAUCCAUGAAAUUGCCCCGUUAAAUUGCUGGAUGGCAAGCAAAUAUUGGUUAGGGAUUGCUUUGGAAGCGAUGACUGGAACUGGAAUAGGAUCCUGGGCAAUAAAUCUUCUGUUCUGCCAAGCCUGAGCCCCAUCCUAUUGGAACUCAAAGAGAGAGUCAAUAGAUUUAAUAUCAGGCAUAUGGAGGACAGGAUAGGUUGGAGAUGGGGCAACAAUAGUAUAUUCUCAGUCAAUUCGGCCUAUCGAAUGUUGAACGAUAGGGGUACGAAAGACGGACGGGGUAACUUGAUUUGGAGAUUAAAAAUACCACUCAAGAUUAAGGUGUUCUGUUGGCCGGUUCUUAAGAAAAGGACACCUACGGUUGACAACCUCAGUAAGAAAGGUUGGUCUGGUGGUACGACCUGCUCAUUGUGUAGGGUCUAUGACGAGUCGGUGGACCAUUUGUUCACCUAAUGCGUCUUUGUCAAGUUUAUCAUGGUUGCGGGAUUGGAGGACGUUCAGUUGGGAGAGUCGGGUGACGAUGUACUUGUAGUCUGGGAUAGGUGGAAGGAAAAACUUGGGGGUCAAAGAAGGAAGAACGGUCUAGCUGAUUUGGCGGCUUGCUGGUGGACUAUCUGGAAGGCUAGAAAUAACCUAAUCUUCCGUGACAUACAGCUAGACCCUCUAGUAGUAGUGCGAAGGCCCAGGCAGCUCAUUGAUUCUUGGAGAGACCUUCUGUAACUUUUUUUUUUUUUUUUUAGGACUAGUUUUUUCUGAUGUGGUUUUUUCUUUUUCCUUGAGGCCCUGGUUGCCUCACUCCUGUAGCCUAAUUCAUACUUUUAAUGAAUGAAACAGGUAGUGUGCUACCUAUUCUCUCAAAAAAAUAUAUGGUAUAUAUUGCAUUUUUUUAAAAAAUAUAUUUUCUACUAAGUUUCAAAUUUACUAAUAAUACAUUUAUGGUGCAUAUGUACUCAUCAAGCAUACCACAAAUUAAAAUAAAGACACUUCCAUUAUUAUUCUAUUAUCAUGAGUCAAUGAAAUUAAGGAGAGAAUUAAUACAGGUCAUCACAUAAAGCAUUUUCAUUUUUUUAAAAAAUAAGCUGUUAGAAAAUAAUAUCUUAAUAUUUUUAUAAUCAAUAUUUUUCUUUACAUUCAAGCAGGAAACUUUUGAUAGAUUCAAAACACGAGUUUAAAAUAAACAAAAGAAAAUUAAAUAUGACUACACCCUGAUUGUAAAUAAAAUAACUAUUUUUUAUUGUAAAAAACUUAAAUUACUAAAAAGUAGAAUUUGAUAUUUUAAUUAAUAUCUUAAAUGCAUUAGGGAACAAAGUUCAGAUGAUGUGGUAAAAUCAUGAGAUAUACCAACCAUUCAAGCAAAUAAUUGAGCACACAAAUUAAAGAUCGGUAAAAAUGUAUAUAUAUAAAAGUUCAUCUCAACUAUGAACCAUUUGGAUCCCACUACCUAACCUUUAAAAACUUUAAUUUUACAAUUUAAUUUUUAAAUUUGUUUAAUUUGAGUUAAUUAGUGAUUUUUUUAACUUCAAAAUUUAAAUACACCGAAUUUCGUCAGCAUAUUUUUAUGCAAUUUACAUGGCUACAAAUUUAUUAAAGUAAGCAAUUGGCUUAAAUUUUUUAUCAAAAAGCCAUCAAAUUACUUAAAACAAGUAAAUUGAAAGGUCGAGAACUAAAAUCAAAAUUUUGAGAGGUUAGAUAUAGUCAAAUCAAAGUGGUAUAUAUUUCAAAUAAUUUCUAUUACCUUAAAAUUAUAUAUUCUAAUUCGAAUUACCAAAAAGAGCUUGUAACUAUAUAUAUACAUAUUAAUGAGUUACUUACUAAUGCUUUUCCAUUGCAAUAUUUAUAAAUGCAUAUUGAUGAUGAUUUGGUUUCUCCCUGAUAAGAAUCUAUUUCAUGUAAUAAUAAUUAAAGAUUCAGAUUAAGCAAGGCCUCUUUUCAAUUUUAUUAUUAUUAUUUUUUUUUUUCUAAAGAUUCAUUUGUAGGGAUUAUAGUGAGCAAAGGCAUUGCCUAAUUGGCAAGUCAACAGCUAAAUAAGAAGCAAUUAAAUGUGGAAAGAGAGAGAGAAUAAAUUAAUAAUACUUGUUCCCUGCAAAUUGCAAUAGGCGACAAAUAUAAUUAAAAAAGUAUGAGUGGGCUUUGGGGGUUGGGAGCAUAUUAAAUGCAAAAAUGCUCUUGUUCCAAAGAUUGUUGAAAGGGGGGCUUUUUUUGCAUUUAAUUUGCAAAAAUAAUUCUAAACUUGCCACGCAGGCGCCACGUUAGCACCAUGCGGGCGGGGCUGGGGGCGUUAGUUAAGUUAAACAUGGUGUACGUAUUUUUUGUAUAUUGAGAAGAGGAAUAAGGAAUUUGUAUUUCUUUUCUUCUCUUUUUCAAAAAUCCGAACCUGAACCCGAAAAUCAAAUCCAAAUCUAAACCCGGAUCCAAACCCGACGGAUUUUAAAAAUUCAUAUCCAUAUCCAUAUCCAACCAAAAAUUUGAAAUCCGAACCUGAACCCAGUGGGUUUUAAAAAUCUAUACCGUUGGAUGAAGAUCUAAGAAAUAAAAAUUAUUAAAUAUUUUAUAUAUUGUAUAAAUAAAUAAAAAUAAAUUAUGUGUAUAUAUAUAUAUAUAUAUAUAGAACUAGGCUAAUAUACUAUUACUAGCACCAAGUCAUUGGUGCUACCAAGUUUUUGGCCAUUGGAUUAAAAGAUGUGCGGUAGGAUGAUGUGGGUCCCCUAGGGUUGAGUGGGUGGUUGGUUGAAUAGUAUGAUCUAACGGGUGAAAAUGAUCAAAAGGGUAGAUCUAACGCCGGAAAACUUGGUAGCACCAAGUGUUUCGUGCUAUUAAUAGCAUAGUAGCCGGACUCUAUAUAUAUAUAUAUAUAUAUAUAUAUAUAAUAUUCGGGUUUGGAUUCGGAUAAUAUUUCGGAUAUCCAUAUCUAUUGGCAUCCCUACUCCCUAUUCCUCUUUUCAAUAAAAAUAAAAAUACGUAUUAAACACGGUAAACCAUUCACCGUGUUUGAACAUUUACCGUAUUUGAACACGGUGAAUGGUUCACCGUGUUCAACUUAACACACGUUCCCGGCUCUGCCUGCGUGGCAAGCCCAGGACCAUUUUUGCAAAUUAAAUUUUAACAGGGCUAAUUUUAAAAUAAAAAUUUGCCAGGGGUCUAAAUGCAAAAAAAGCCCUUAAAAAGGAUAUGGCUUCAAGAGGAGAGAUAAUUUUUAUAUCAAUUAACAAGAGCGGUACAGUCCCUUUGCAAUUCCCAUAUUUCAACUUGAUUCCUAGAAAAAUUAUUUUCUGGCUUUUUUUUUUCAGUCUAUUUGAUUUGUAAAAAAAAAUAAUAAGUUUUUUAUUUUUUUUUUCAAAUUUUAUGAAGUUUUUUUCAAAAUUUUUAUCAAAAAAAUAAGAAUCAUAAAAGUUGUGUUUUUCGUGAUUUUUUUUUCCCAAAACAGGUUAUCACCAUUUUUGGCGGGAAAAAAAUGACCCUAAAUUCCUAUAAUUGUCACUAGAGUAUUUUAAUUUAAAAUUUGAAGUAUAUAUUGCUCUUUAGCUUAUGAGUAUAAUGUUAAAGUUUGAGAACCAAAGUGCAAUUGACAACAUAUAUAGUUUGAGCACCAAACGCACAAAUUACCUUUUUUGUUUCAAUCAAUUAAAACAAAACAAUUUUUUUUUUGUUUUUGCGUAAAACACUAGAAGAUAAAUUAAUCCUCCAAAGAUAACUGUAUAGAGCACCACCAAAUAGAUUUGUUUCACCAACAAUCUCUUAAAAUAAUAUGUUUUAGAUUUGAAGGAAGUUUUCAAAUGCAGGUUGAGUUACGGGCUGGGGGACGGUAUUCUCAUCAAUUUUUGGGCCGACGGAUGAUGUGGGGACGCGUCCCUAAAGUCAUACUUUCUAGAAAUCUAUUCUCAGGUUCAUCGCAUGGAGGUGCGGGUUAGUGACUGUUUUUUUACCUCGGGAUGGAGAUGGAGAUUGAUUCUGAGAGGAAUGAGAAGAAACACACAGCACUGUAAACAACGGAUUUCGAAGUUGAAGAACAUCCUUUCUAUCUUACGGACUACAAAUCAACCAGAUGUCAUUCUUUAGAGAUGGAAUUCUGGGAAUAUAUUUACAGUCAAAUCAAUAUAUUCGUUCAUUAGGACAGGGGGAUCAAAAAUAACGCAACGCCCACCAUCUAGAGACUGAAAAUUCCGACAAAAGUCAAAAUCUUUCUCUGAUUGGUACUAAAAUAGAGAUUGCCUAUUGUGGACAACCUUCUUAAAAAGGGAUGGGCAGGUAGCAGUGAAUGCGUCAUGUGUGGCGCAACUUCGGAAAGCGUAGAACACUUGUUGGUGAGAUGCGUGGUUAGCAAGUUCCCUUUUAUUUCUAUCCUUGACGAGUCUUACAUCUACCCCUCUAGUGCGGAUGUCAUUUCUGUUUGGGAUGAGCUGCCUGGGAGGGGGUCAGCGUCUAACACUCCGAAGCCUCAGAUACUUGUGGCGGCCCUGUGGUGGACGUUCUGGUGCGAGAGAAAUAACGUCAUUUUUCGAAACCUUACCUUGAAUGCUACCUCUGUGGCACAUUGUAUUAGUGCACUAGCGAAGGAGUGGACUGAUUUUUGUAGAAGUAGGUGAGGCCAUUUAUUUUGUUAGACUACAUGCCCUUUUUAGCUCUUUUCAGAUAUUUUUAGAGUUCCUCUUUCUUUAGUUUUGUCACUCCUUGAGGCUCUAACUGCCUCACCCUUUGUAGCUAAAUUCAUUUAUCUAAUGAAUGAAGCAGGUAGCGUGCUACUUUUCUCUAAAAAAAAAAAAUUGUUGCUAAAUUAGCUGUUAGCACUAAAAUCCGUCACCAAACAAACUAAACAAGUAGCUAUAAUAUAGACUAGUAUAGACUUUUAGGAAAAUGAACAAACAAAACAGCAAUCAAAAAAGAAUCAAAAACUGUUGAAAUGCAUCAAUAUUGAAGAUGCACAUAAUUAAAUGCCAUGAUCUCAUGAUCAUAAAAACACCCUUGGAGUCAUCUCAAGGUCCUCCUCAUCCUUAGUUUUUUUUUCCUGUCUCUUUCCUAUUCUUCAAUUCAAUCCCUGCAAUAUAUAUUUAUAUAUGUAUAUAUUUAACACCCACAGCUGUAUCCUUUUAAGCUAUACUUUGCUUCAUUAUACACAUUAACAAAAAAAGCUCAUUAUAGUUUAUUUAUUAUACUCUGAUUUUGCACUAUUUGUAUGGAUUUUUGUGGAAGACCCCUACGUGUUAUGUAUUAAAAGAGAAAAGAUAGGAAAAAAGAUGGAGUUGUUGGACUCAAGUACUUGUUUGAUGUACUUGUGAGCUGUUUAAUCCAAUUGACCAAAAAAAAGUAAUAUCUUUAAUAAAAUAAAAAGAAUAAUUUUUUUGUACAAUUUUGCAUUAUAAAUAACACAUCUUUCCGGCAAUCCCAAUUAGAGUUAAUUAAGGAAUUUUAGAGUUUCCUGCAUUAAUUUUACCAUAUGAGUAAUUUGUUUAAUAAUUAUAUUAUUAUAAAACAAAUUUACUAAAUAUUAUUUUGUCGCGUUACUAACUGAUAAAUACAGAGGGUAUAUACAAUUAUUAACUUUGAAAAAUAUUAUUAUAUUUAAAAAUAUCUAGCUUUAAUUCCAUAAAAGAUUAUUAAUUAGAAAAGUGAAUUGAAUCACACAAUGAGCUCACCUGUAUAAAUCAUGCAAUUAAACUAUGAUUAUCCUCCCCUACCAAGAAAGUAAAAAAGAUAGAGAUCCUUAUCUUUUGUCAUUUAUCCUUCUUAAAUAUAUAUCUUAACUUAGAUAUCUUGAAUUAAUCAAUGUUGUAAAAUAAAAAUAUUCUAAUCUUUAGUUACUAUAUAUUUAAAACUUAGUUUUACUUAUCUUUAUAACUAGCUUGCAUCCCUUAUCAAUAACUUUUUAUAAUAAAAAUAUAGUUUUUAGAUUAUAAAAUCCAAUCAAGCCUUUGGCAUGAGUAUUUGCAAUUUGCAUGCAUAGUUAAAUUGCUAUUUAAUUAGCUUACCAGAUAAUUAAUAUCAAUUAAUCAAACUCAUCACUCCUCUCGAUCUUAUAUUCCAUGAAUACAAUUGUCACCCUCCAUAUAUAGGUGUUCUCCUUUGCUUCUGCGAAGCAGUGCUGCAAAUCUCUACGGCUAGCUCAGAAUUACCAUAAGAUUUAUAUCAUAAUCUUUCCAAAAUUAGGAUUUACUCAUUUGUCUUAUUACCUUUUUAAUAGUGACUUCUUAAAAAAUAAUUUAAACAUUUGAAUUAUAAACUAUAAGAUGUAUAUCUUAUAAUGAAUAUACUAAUAAUAUUUCUUGAGAAAAUAUUCAAUCCUUCACAAGCUAUAGCCAUCUCACCUAUCCUCUACUAUAUAUGAUAUCACAUCACCCUUACUCAUAGGCGUCUUUGGUUCACGUUAUAUAGUAUUAAUGUUAUUUCAACAUAACUAGGCAUCUGAGAUUUCUAAAUCAGAUUACUACUAAUGUUAUAUUACUGUGUUUGAUUUCAUGUAAUAAUAAUAUAAUACUAAAUUACAGUGUAUAUAAAAUUACUAUGCAUAUUUGAUUUAAUUUAUAAAAUUCAGUAAUUUUGAUAAUAAAAUAUAAAAUAUUUUAAAAUUGCCCUUAUUACUCAUAUGCUAGCUAAUUCAAAGAAUAAAGUCAAACGAAUACCAUUAUGCCCUUUGGCCAAUGCUAAGGGGCACAACAAACAUUGACUAGUCCAAUAUAUAUAUNUAUAUAUAUUGUCAUUUAUAUUUAAUCAAAAAAAGGUACAUAAUAAGUUAAAAUAUAGAAAAUUUUUCUAUAAAUAUUGAUUUUUUAAUCUUUUCUUUUUGACUUUUCAAAAAAAGAAGUUACCCUUGGUUGUUUCAGUAGAUGCUUGUGAACACAUUUUUUUCUUUAUGGAAUAAGUAAAUGCAAUUUGGUAAUUUUGCCCUCUUUAUUGACACCGUAAUUUUCUGAAAAUAUUUUUUAAAUUUUAAGAAGAUAAAAUAUAAAUUUUAAAGUCAAGAGGGGAAGUGAAAAAACCGAUAUUUAUAGGGGAGGAGAAAAUUAAACCUCCACUUAGCUUGAAGAUUUACUUACAUGCAUUUGACAACAAAAGCUCACUUUAGAUCUAAUUAUCUAGGAAUUAGUAAUUGAAGGACUAAAAAGAUUUAUUGAAGCUUUUGUUGAAUAUAAAAUAUUAAUAUAACCAUUUUUCUGUUAGCUUAAAUUUUUAGAAAUUUCAAACGACAUCAGAAUAAGGGUUCUCAUAGUUCGAGUCCUAUCAGGCUUCUUCUUUCUUUAAUUGUGAGUAAAGUACACUUUUGGUUCUCAAACUAUUAGGCGAUGACACUUUAGUUCUCAAAUUUUGAUUUGUAGCAAUUUCUCACUCAAACAUUCAGAAUUAUUGUAAUCAAGUCUCACAACCUAAUUUAGCUCGUGUGAAAGUAUUGUAACUGAUGAUGUGACAAUAAUUAAAAUGUUAUAUUACUUUUGAAGUACUAUUUGAGUAUCAUGGUUUAAUCAAUCCUAACUAAUUUUUUCGUUAUUAAAACUGUUAAUAGCUUCUUAUUAGAACAAGAAACAAAACUACUGUACUAUUGUACCUUUUGCUACUAAGUUCUUUUUUUUCUCUUUUUUUUUAGUUUAUUGUUCAAACUAUUAGCAUGUACCUCAUAUUUGCCAAGCAUCUAGCUUUUGCUUUCUCAAGUAGAAAAUCAGGCCCGAUAUUUCGCGCUAAACGUAAACUUAAGUAACACUUUGCAAUCUUAGGGAAAUUAAAUAAACAUUGAUCAAGUGUAAUUAAUGUUGACAAAAUUUUUGGUAGGGCCUUCAUAGAGUUAUGUCUCAUCUAUUUAGGUUGUCCAUUGUAGGCCAUAUAUUUAAUUUACUAAUUCCCAAUUAAAAUUUGUUACAUUUUUCUUGGAAAGCUAUGGGCACCUAAAAUUUUGGAGCUGCAACAUUUAUAUAUACCACUAAGUGACAUGUGUCCAGCAAGCAAGAAUCUUCGGAUGAAAAAAUAAUUUUAUAAAUAAAUAAAAAUUAAAAGCUUUUACUUUAGUGUGAGCAUUUACUAUUUGAAGAUUUGCCCUAGAUUUUUUAUAUUAAAUUUUUUGCUGUAAGGAAAAUUUAUCAUCGCAAAUGCGACUUAUUGAAAGGCAGCUUUUUAUAGCUCAGAAUAUAUUUUGCUACUAUAAGUUAAAAAUAUAUACCACCAAAAUAAAAUAAAAUAAAAUAAAAACACAACAUAUGACGUGUUAAAAUCGUCAGUUUUGAGAUAUUUUGAUUCUUUAGGCGAAUGACACUCAAAAUUAUAAAAUUUAUAUGCCCUAUCACUAAAACUAAAUAGUUCAUUAGUUCUUCUAUUUCUUCGUUUAAAGUUCUAAUAAAGAAAAAUGUAAGUUUCCUGAAUGGUCCUCAACCCAUUUUGCGAGGUUGUAAUCAAUUCUAAUCUUAAUUUUUUUUUUUAACGUACAAUAAUAUAAGCACAGAAAGUCGGAUGGCAUAAAAACAGUCGAUCUGGCAGAACUUUUUCCUUGUUCUGCGUAGUGAAACUGAGGAUGCCACAUUAUCUUUCUGUUAGGAUCGAACUUACAAUCUAAAAACUAAAAAACAAUAAAUUAAAAUAUGAGAAUUUUGAUGCAACCAAAUUUGAAACACAUUAAUGGUCUAAUCCAACCCUCAAAACAAUUCCUUUCUAGAUUUGGUUGUUCAAUUCCAUUACUCCACCUACCAUUCUUUCACACAUGUGAGAGAGGGGUGGCUACACUUACCUCCCAUUUUUUCUUGGGUUAACCAGAAGAAGUUAAUUACAUAAGUUUCAAACCCUAAUUUUGAUCAAUAAUCAGAAUCAGUUUGAUCUUUUCUCCCACCUUCAGAAUAAUGAAGCAUAGGUAUCACCGCAAUAUCGUUAGAAUUUUCUGAAAGGUAACUAUCUCGGUUUCAUAUAUGGAAUUCAUAUAGAAUCUUUGAACAAGACUUUUUGGAAGGAAAAAAAAAAAAAGAAAAAAGAGUGCAACCUAUAUACUAUAUUCUAUGGAUAAAGGAUCAAAUUGAUAGAGAAAGCAACGUAAAGAUCAAGUCUUUUUCACCUCUAAGUGAUGUUGCUUCCUCUACUAUACCUUUUCCUUUUUCUUCUGCUCUAUUCCUUUCUUUUUUUACUUUCCAAGGGUCCAAAACUCAUUGGGGAACACUUUAAAAAAAUAGCAACUAUAUGUAACACUUUAUAUUGGUGGAAAUAACAUAUGAAAAAUACUGGGAUGACAACCGACUUUGAACGGUAAUUCUAUGACUUUCGCAUCCAAAUUAAUUAAGGUCAUUUUCUUUCUGCAACACUUGUCAUUUUUUUUAGGGAAAACUUCAAAAACCCCCCCUGUGGUUUCUUGCUUUCUCACUUUAGUACCCUGUGGUUUAAAACGUAUCAAUUUGCCCUCCUGUGGUUUCGUUUUUCUCUUUUUGUUAUCAAUUUUAUUAUUAUUUGUUUCUUAAAUCAGUGACAAAGUUAAAAUUAAAGGAUACUAAAGUGAAUAUUCGAUAAAUAUAGAUGGUUAUCUGAAGUUUUUUGUAUAUAAUUUAACGAAAUGUUAACGAAAAAGCUUCCGAAAAGAUAAAAAUGAAACCACAGGGGGNAUAUAUAUAUAUAUAUAUAUAUAUAUAUAUAUAUAUAUAUAUGGAUGUAUAUCUUUUUGGAUCCAUCUAGGAUCUAAGUUGGGUUGGUGUGAAAUGAGGUUUGUACUCAUAUGGAGAAUAAAUGAUGUAGUGGCGGUGCAUGGUGCAACUUUUAAUUCUUUUUGUUGCUUCUUUCCAACCUUGGAUGCAAUAUAUUCUCUUUGCCUAAUUAGUUUCUUCCUAGGAAUUAAAUUUCAAAAAAGAAAAAAAAAAAGAAGCACUUCCUAGAGAAGAUCAAAGAUGAUUAUUUUGUAGAGGUUUGAACAUCUGAGGAGAUUCGAGUUGUAGAUAGCUUAAUAUUGGGUGGCAUCUAUUUAGUAUUCAUCUUAAUAUAAUAUAUUGUCACAAAAUAAUAGUCAAACAAUACCCUUUAUCUUUACUCUAACUUAUCUUUUUGGGGCUACUUAGGACUGGAUCAUAAAUUGUUAUUCUUCUUGUUCAAUAUUUUAGCAAUCAUAGAUUUUCUUUUUUUCAUCAAUCUUGUGUCCCUUUUCUUUCUUUUUUUAAAGAUUAUUUUUGAAUAAUUUUCCAUCAGAUAAAUAUUUUUUCAUAUGAUAUCACGCUAGUUAUCUAGUUUUUAUCGUCCACGUAUUUUCUAUCAAAUUGAUCUGCUGUGUAAUACUUUUGUAACUUGUGUGAAUCGAUACAUGCAGUACUGUACGCCGGAGAGGACACGAUAACGGUGACAUGGUCGCUGGACCGGACGGCAGUGCCGGCCGGCGGCGACGCUGCCUACGAGAAGGUGAAGGUGCUGCUGUGCUACGCUCCGGUGAGCCAGAAGGACCGCGGGUGGCGCAAGACCGACGACCUGCUGAAGAAGGACAAGACCUGCCAGUUCACCGUCGUCGAGCAACCUUACAGCGGCGCCACUGCGAGCGCCAACGUCACAUACAGAAUCAAGCGCGACGUGCCGACCGCCACCUACUUCGUGCGUGCCUACGCGCUCGACGGCUCCGACACGCAGGUCGCCUACGGCCAGACCACCGACGCCAAGAAGACCGCCAACCUAUUCGACAUCGUCGCCAUCACGGGCCGCCACGCCUCGCUCGACAUCGCCGCGGGGUGCUUCUCCGCCUUCUCCAUCGCCGUCCUCAUCUUCUUCUUCUUCAUCGAGAAGAGGAAGGUCAAGAAGUAGACCGGGGUCGAAAUCAGACCAGUCUUUUCAGAUGCACCUCGAUUUUCUCUACUUCUAACGGCAGAAAAGGAUGUGUCUGAAAAUACUAGUAUGAUGUGAUGGUGAAGAAUGAUUAAUCAUUCUCUUACUCAUUACCAAUCAUGUGUUGUUUGUUGUGUUAUUAUUGUAAUGAGGAGGGGGAGUUUGGUUUCUAAUGUUGUUCUAUUAUACAUCCAAUACGUGUUCUUAUCAGUGUUUUCCACUGUUGAGGGGUGUAAAAGGUGUUUAGAAUGACUAAAUUAAAGAGUUGUACACGCACUCGAUCGUUUACAUAUCUUUAAUAUGUUGAUGAUUUAAUUCUACUUAUUAUAACCGAAUUAUAUGUAUAUAUAAAUUAAUAGAAUUUCAUAAAUAAUUUUUGGAAUGAACAAAAAUUUGAAGUUUUUUGAACUAUAUACGCUUAAUAAGUGUACAAAUGGAAUAUUACUAUUUCACUUGUUAUGCCACGUGUGAUAACAAGUGGUAGCUACAAGUCGUGCCAAGUGUCAAAACAUGCAUCUUUGCAAAAAAAGUCAAAGUUCUUAAUUUGUGUAUGUUUUACAAAAGUCUCUCUCUUUCUUCGCUUAUUAUCCAUAUUUAUGCAUAAGCUAUUUAUUUAUGUAAGCAAAACUAGGAUGCUUACAAAAGCAAAAUAAAAUGUUUACUUUCAUAUUGUUUACGGUAAUAAAGCAACUGCAUUCACCGACCGACCCUAGAGCAAGUGGCAAAGCGCUUGAUGGUCGGUACGCAAGACCCAAGUUCGAAUCCUAUUGAUUCAUAUUACCAGCUAAAUUUAUUUCUAAACAAAAUAAACGAAGCAGGUAGUGUGCUACCUAUCUCUCUCUCUCUCAAAAAAAAAAAAAAAAAAAAAAAAAAAAAAAAAACAUUGGAGACUCCCUCAACUAUAGGCCAUUUUGAAAAAGAGAGCCCAGAUCACUUUGACACCUAAAUAAACUUCUAAUUUAUUUUUAAUUAAAGUUAAAUUACUUUGGUUGGUUAAAUCAAAAGAAAAUUGUUAGAUUUAAGAACUCUAUUAGCUAUUAAUUACCUACUGGUUAUUCCAAUUUUGUUUGUAGAAAAAGAAUUAAAAGAAAUAAGUUUGAUAAAAUCGUUAUUUUAAUUGACUAAAGGCAAAUUCAAAAUGGUCAAUACGUAGUUGAUGGGGCUUAGCACAUUUUCACCUAUUGUUUACUUUUUGUGCCACCCAUGGCCUUUGGUUAUAAUAGGGAAUUCACAUUUUAGGAGUGGUGACUAAGUAAAGGAUCUAGUUGAUAUCAUCAUCCUUGUAGUGUAGCUUUAGAGUGCGAGAGAAAAGAGGAGAGAUAGAGAGAGAGUGCAACUACAAUAUAUAUUAGAGACCCAUCUCCAAAGUUUUCAUUGUUUCAUCUCUCUCUCUCUCUCUCUCUCUCUCUCUCUCUCUCUCUCUCUCUCUAUUUGCACUCCAACAAGUCCAAAGAUAUAUAUACAUAUACAUAAAAGAAAAAAUUUGUAUAUUGUGAGGAGAUGUUGAGCCAAGCAAGAGUGGGAUUAUUAUGGGAGGAGCUCUUGAUCAUCAUGGGCCUACUUGGGGUGCAAUGUGUCUUUGGGGUGUACAUGGUGUUCUUGAACCAAAUCCUCGCCCUCGGCGUCGACCCCUUGUUCAUCAUCGCCUUCGGGGGCCUCGCUUCUGCUGUCACCCUCCUCCCCCUCGCCGCCGUCUUCGAGAAGUAUAUACACAUAUAUAUACAUAUAUACACAUAAAUAUACAUAUAUAUAUAUAUAUAUAUACAUGUCUUCUUCUUCUUCUUCUUGGUUUCUCUUGAGCAUUGAGAGGUGAUCAUGUGUGUGUGGUGUGUUUGAGUUGAUCAUCACUAUUUUCAUGCAUGUGCAGGAAGAAAUGGCCUGCAAAGUUGAGCCCAACUCUGAUGGCUAAGUUUGUGAUGUUGGCUUUAGGAGGGUAAGAAAGCAACUUUUACUUUUACUUUGCUUUGCUCUUACUCUUUCAAANCUCUCAAAAAAAAAAAAAACAUCUGCAUUCACGAUCCAUACUAUUAAAUAUUAUUCAAAUUAUAAUUAAUUUAAAAUUUAAAUUUAAAUUUUAUUCGAAUGUCGAAAUAAAUUAUUCAAGAAUAAUUUAUUCCAUUUGAAAAUUUUCUAGUAUGAUUAUUUAUAAAGAGUUUGAUUUUUGAAGAAUUUUUCUAUUCAUAAUUUGAUAGAAUAAUAUAUUUUUAUCUACAAGAUUAUCUAUCUUAUUUUGAAAAAAUAACUUGAAGACUGUAUAUGGUAUUCCAUUAUAGUUAUUUGACCAUACUCCUUAACAAUCGAUUGUACAAAUUUCUUAAAUAAGUUAAUAAGAUAUACCGAGUAAGAUAUUCACGCAUUUCAAAUAAGACCUCAAAAGAUUUAAUUGACCUCUAGAAUUUUAUAAAUAGCAAUGCUACCGAUACAUUCAAAAAUGAGAAAAAACUCAAAAUUUAUUUUUUUGCAGUAGUCUUAUCAUUUUUUAUUUUUUUAAUGCUAAAAAUUCAAGUAAGUUUGUGUAAUUCUUGGACAGUAAAUUUAUAUAAGAUUUACACACAUAAAACUCGGUGUAUAAGUAGCAUUUUUUUUUUUUUUCUGAAAUAAAACAGGCAUAGGAGUAGCAGCAAACAGAGACAACAAGCAUUAAGUAGGGCUCGAUCAACUCUAACAAUUUGGUAUAAAAGCUACAGUUAAGAUCGGGAGAUCCUACCAGUAAAACCAGUGACAUGAUCAGAACGAAAAUACACAAAAAGCAUCACCAUCCAUAGAAGAUGACGAACAACAAUCUAUUUACAGCAGCAGCACUACUGAAUGAUGAACAGCCAAUUUUGAUGUCGAUCCCAGAUGGUUUCCUGAAUUUUCAAUCUGCCGAGAUAACGUCAUAUCUUCAGAUGGCAAAACAAGAUUUACCAAAUAUUACGAAUUUCGACGUUGAGGAGAAGAUCAGUUUCGCGAACUGGACUGACGAACUGAGUCUGCACAAGUUCAUUCACCAAUCACUGUCAUAUUUGAAGUGUAGUAGUAAAGCAAUUAGAAUUCCUGUAACUUCAUCUUUGCCUGCUAGAAAAGCCCACUUAUCGACAAACUCGAAAUUACGGAGGGAUUAAGAGUAAGUGCCAAUUUAUCUGAACUCAUACAACUUCGCCUUUACCGUUGUUCUCCGCGAAGACCUCCGUUAAACAGGGGUAUCAAAGUAUUAAGUUUUACAAACCACACGGUAGCAAAGUGUAAAUCGCGUGACGGUAAAAUGCCACCAUGAUUGCGAUCAUUUUACCGUCAUGCGGUCGUCUACAACAUGUAGAAUUUUCGCUGCGCUAUUGAAUAUUUACGUAAUUUAUAUGCAUAGCUCAAUAUCAAGGUUCGGCGAGGCUCUCGCGAGACUCAGCAACCUGUUCCUCGAGCCUAGUAGUGCUUCAGGAGAACUGCAUUUGAUCAGCACUUUCUGCAGCACGCCUUUCCAAGACUGCCGUGCAGAAAUCCCUCGAUGGUCACACUCUUCAAAUCAAGGAUUAAGUGCUCAUCAGCACAGACCGUAUCCACGGUGCUGUAUCACGCCAACGAGAUAUAGGCAUGAUACAAUUUCCGUACCGAUUGCACGGUUCAAAAUUCUCUAUUCUUUAAAUUAGUAAGUAAUUUUUUCAAUAAAAUUUGAAAGAUUUGAUAAAAUUUAUAAUAAACAAUUAGAAUAUUUUGUUGCUAAAAAAAAAGUAGAUAUUUUAUGUCACUAUAUGUCGGUACACAUAUAAACACGCAUCGACAUAACUCAGCACGCACUGUACCGUACCAUGCCAGGGAAAAGAUAUGUUGCUUCCCUGCAAAGAUAUGUUGCUACCUCCAGAUGCUUUAGAUAGAUCAAACCUUGAUAAGAAUUCAUCUAAACUUUGUCUUGUAAUACAUCAUCUGCGAUGUAGAAGAAAUCGGAAUGGGUGGAAUUAGUAAACCAGCUCGCCAGCAUGAACGAGGGAUUAGAUAUCAAAUGUUCUGACAACAUAACAGUACAGCACAGAGUUUCAUUGUGGUGGUUUGUAAUGUUCUACUCACUGAAAUUUAUUCUUUGUUAGGUUCGAAUUUGUUGGAUUACUGUUUCAGCAAAUAAAACCUAAAAGGAAAAAGAAAGAAAACUGAUGCGAGAAUUGAACAUAUUCAACACUACCCUUCUCGUCUCAGCUCGUCAUAUUUUGGAUGAUAUUUUGAUGGACCCAAAAUAAAAAUUUAAAUUAAAUAAAAUUAAAAAUAAUAAUGUUAGGAGUAACAUUGGAAAGAGUGAAAAGUGAGAUGGGAUAUGGGAAUUGGGAGGGAGGAAGACGAAACUUUUUUUUUUUUUCCUUAGUUGAAAAUAUGAAUAAACUAGGAUUCGAAUUUAGAACCUCGGGUACCAACCACCAAGUCCUUUACCACUUGUGCUAGGAACAAUUGGUUUUUUUUUUUUUUGGGGGGGGGGGGUAAACUUCGAAUACUAUUUCUGUGGUUUCGUACUUUCUCAUUUUAGUAUCAUGUGAUUUAAAAUGUAUCAAUUUAGUACCCUAUGAUUUUUUUUUUUGUCAGCUUUUUUUUUUCAUUAAAUUAGUGACAAAAUUAAAAGUAAAGGUAUUAAAGUGAAUAUUCGAUAAAUCUAAAUGGGUAUCUGAAUUUUUAUGUAUAUAAUUCAACGAAAUGUUAACGAAAGAGCUAACAAAAAUAAAAAAAUAAAACUACAUGGUACUAAAUUAAUACACUUCAAAUCGUAUGGUACUAAAGUAAGCAAGUACGAUACCACAGAGAUGGUAUUUGAAGUUUACCUUUUUUUUAUAAAAGAAAAAUUAAGUUAAGCUAACAUUGGCCCAGCUACUAUCUUUUAAAACGAAGGAGAUCUUCAUCGUUCUAAGCCAUUUUGGGCGUUUUUGGCAUUUGGCCCAUUCAAAAUAAUUAUUUUUAUAAAUAGCUCUAUCAAAUUUAUAAUUAUAAUUUUGACUUUAUUCCCGCCAUAUAGACGUCACAUCAACGCCACACGAGCAGAGUUGUGGAAUAAGUUGAACACGGUGAACCAUUCACCUUAUCUGAAUACUGUAAAUGAUUCACAGUAUUCAAUAGUAGAAAUAAUAUACUAAACACGGUGAACCAACGACGACAAUAUUAUGAAAAUGCUUGGACACGAUGAAUAAUUCACUGUGUUUAGUGUAUUAUUUAUACUAUUGAACACGGUAUAUCAUUCACCGUGUCUAAAUAUGGUAAAUGGUUCACCUUAUUCAACUUAUUCAAGCCCCCCACACUCUAUUCGCGUCGGACUGAUGUGGUGCCUAUAUGGUGGGAAUAAAGCUAAAAUUGCAAUUAUAAAUUUGGUGAGGCUAUUUAUGAAAAUAAUAUUUUUGAGGGGAACAAAUGCAAAAAAGCUUCAUUUUAAAUGAUAAGACUUUCGAAUUGAUAAUCAGAAUCAUUAAAGUUGAUAUAAAGUAUUUUAGAAAUUAAAUCUUAUAAAUUUUAAAAUUUAUUUUUGUAGUGAUCAAAAUAUCACAAAAUUAAUAAUUUUUUACGGCCUAUAUGAGUGGUUUGUUUGUUAACGGUGGAGAAGUAUUCAAACCACUUAACUUUUGGUAGGAAAUUUGUUAUACUAUUUAGAUAACGUCUGAUAACACUGACUAUGAAUUGAAAAGUUUAAUAUCUAUUUUUAUAAGAUUAUUUGUUUUUUAAUGUUUAUUUUUUAACUCUUUGAUGGACUUAAUAAUAAUUUUUAUAAAAUUUAGUUUCUAAAUUUUUUAAAUAUUUUAAAUCAUCUUUAAUAGUUUCGAUUAUCGGUUCGAAAAUUUAUAUCAUCUAAAAUGACUUAAGAGGACGAAUGCCUCCGUUGUUUUAAAAUGAUAACAGCAAGAUUCAAGCUAUAUAUUAUAAGAGUGAAUGAUAAGGAAAAUGCUUUGCGUACCCAUGAAGGAUGUUCUUCUAGAUAAAUACUUUGGGUACUCUACUUAAUUAUGUGCCCUGCAUAAUAAUAAUAUAAUUAAUGUGUUGGUUCCCUAUGCAUGUAAGGUUUGGGGUUAAGUAUUUAAUUAUAGUAUUUAAAAUGUAUUGAGGGUGUUUAGGAUUUAAAAAUUAGUGUUUAAGAUUUAGUAAUAAUGUUGCCAAGUCAUGAGUAAUAUUGUAAGCUACUUUUUAGGAUACAUAUAACUGUACUUGCAUUUUUAAUAUCUAACUAGUGUGGUGACUUGCGCAUUAUAACAGAUAGAUACUGUUAAAAUAAAAAUUUAUAAAAAAUAAAAUAUCAGUUUAGCAUGACAAAUUAUAUUACCAUAGUGUGUAUUAUAGAGAAAUAUUUUAAAAAAAAAAAACUAUAAUGAAAGAAUUUAAUUGUUUCAAUAAAACUAUUCAAUAUUGUUCAAGAAAAGUCGCAUACCAAUAUAUCAUGCAAAUGGAUGGUUAAUAUUAUUUCUAUAACAUAAUAAUAAAAUGAGUAAAAAAAAGGAAAAAAAAAUAGACCCUACUCUUUUCCAAAUUAAGAGGAUAGGUAUAUAUAUAGAAUUUAGCCAUGAAAAUUAAUAUAUAGAAUAUAUAAAUUUUUUUCUUUUAUUAUGUAGUGAUUAUACUAUAUUAUUUAUAUCCUAGCGAAUUAUUUUUUUUAAAAUAACAAUGCUGAAAUAACUAGACUUAGAGCUAAAUAUAUUUGAUUGGAAUUUGGAGACACCACUUCAUUUAUAUAAUUACCCUAUUUUAGACUUUCUUUAGGAUAAUUAUCCGCAUACCCCUUAAAACUUCGAAAAUAUCUCAUUUACGUUUAUUUUAUUUCUUUUCAAUAUACCACUCAUAUGUUUCUCCGUUAUUUCAAAAUAUCUCUACAGUUACCGUCCGUUAAGUUAACUUAGAUUAAACGUAAGUUAAAUAUCUACUAAAGUUUUUUAAAAAAUUAAAAUAUAUUUUUUGCUCUUAACUUAAUGCAAACAAAAAUGUUGGUGAUAGUAAAAAAAUAUAUUUGAAAAGAUCAAAAAUCAAAAUAUUUUUUUUGCUCCUAACUUAAGAGCAAAUAAUAAAAGUUGGUGAUGGUAGAAUAAUAUAUUUGAAGAGGUAAAAUAGUAAUUUCAUAUAGAUAAUAACUAUUGCUAACAUAUCAUGAACAUGAUUUAACUGUAAGAAUAUUUUUGAAAUAUAUUGGUAGUCUUCUAUGAUAGAUAAAUUAGAAAGUCGAAAACUUUUUGGAGGUAUUUGGAUUGGGUACAAAAGGAGGGAUAAGGGGGUUAUCCGCUCUCUUGCACCCAAACACCUUUUCAUUGGGUGGGAACAACUUGUUCCCACCCCUGGAUAUAUGAAGAGAGAGAGAGAUAGACUUUUUAUUUUAAAAUUAAAUUUAAAUUUUUAAAAUUUAUAAUCUUAAAAUUUAAAUUUAUAAUUUAAAAUUAUAAAUUUUAAAGUUUAAAUUUUAAAUUUGAUAUUUUUAAAUUUUAAAUUUUAAAUUUGAUAUUUUUAGUUUUUAAAUUUUAAAUUUAAUAUUUUAUAUCUUUGAAAUUUAAAUUUGGUCUUAAAUUUAAAAUUUGAUAUUUAAAAUUAAAAUUUUAAAAAUUAAAAUUUUAAUUUUUAAUUUGAAUUUAAAAGUUAACAUUUUUAAUUUAAAAUUAUAAGUUUAAAAUUUAAAAAUUCAAAUUCAAUUAUAAGGAUAAUACUAUUAUUUUCUAUUUAUAACUACCAACUAUUCAUCUUAUUCUCAAUAAACAUCCAAACACAAUUUUUCUAAUUCCAGCUUAUACUUACAUUUUCAUCCAAACAAAAAAUACUCUUGUUCUUACAAAAAUUCAUAUUUAUAUCUAUCCUCGGUAUAAUUAGUUUCUACUAAUUUUCGAACCAAACGAAGCCUUUAGGAAUAUGUAAGUAAUUAUUAUUUUUUUUAUUUAAAGUGCAUAAUUACAGAGAUCUAUUUCUCUGCCUUACUUGGGUGCAUGCGUGUGUGGGUUGGGUCCGUUGUGGCAAUGUAGGGUGCUUUGGGUUUGGGCUCAGGGGCCUUAAAAAAAAAAAAAAAAAAAACCUAAUAAUACGAUUUAAAAUUUUAAAACAAAAAUUAGUAAACUGAUAGUAUUAAAAUCACAGUGAAAAUGUGAUAAAUGAUAAGUUUGGUGCACCAUAAAAUUAGAAACUAAUAUGAUUAAAAGUAAAAGGCCCAAAAAAAAAAAAAGAAAAAAGAAAAGGAAUAUCUUCGCUGCGUAUUUUAGCAUAUCCCCGUCGAGAAAAGAAGCCCUUUUUUCCUUCCCCGUUUUUCGAUCGUCAUCCCCUUUUGUUUUCGCAGCCACAAAGCGCCCGCUCGAAACCCUAGCCCUUUCAGAUCCCGAACCUAGGGCACGGCCAUGUCCAAACCCUGGGGCGGAGUCGGCGCCUGGGCCCUCGAGGCCGAGCGCGCGGAGGCCGAGGAGCGGGAGGCCGAGGAGGCCGAGGCCGCGGCCGCGGCUGCCGCGCCGCCGGAGCACUUCCCCAGCCUGAAGGAGGCUGCCGCCUCCGCCGGCGGGGGCAAGUCGAAGAAGAAGAAGGCGACCUCGAUCUCCCUCUCCGAGUUCGCCACCGGGACCUACGUCGGCCCCGGCGGCGGCGGCCGCCGCCACCCCUCGUCGUCGUCGUCCCUCGUCGAGCCGAAGGGCCUCACCCCCGACGAGAUGCUCCGCCUCCCCACCGGCCCCCGCGAGCGCUCCGCCGACGAGCUCGAGCACUCGCGCCUCGGCGGCGGGUUCCGAUCCUACGGCGCCGGCGGCUCCCGCGGCGGGUUCCCAGGCCGGAGAUCCGACGAUGGCGACGGGUACGCCGGAAGGAGGCCCUACGGCGGGGGAUUCGACGAGGAUCAGCACCGCGGCCCCCCGUCUAGGGCUUCCGAUCCCGAUCAGCCGUCGCGGGCGGACGAGGUCGACAACUGGGCCGCCAACAAGAAGUCGUUCGCGCCCUCGCCGAUGGAUUCGGGCCGCCAAGAUCGGUACAGCUCGCUGGGCGGCGGCGGCGCCGCGUCGCGGGCCGACGAGGUGGACGACUGGUCCCGCGGAAAGAAGCCCCUUCCCUCGCGCUACCCCGCCUUCGGAUCCGGGUUCAGGGACACCACCGGCCCCUCCGACUCCGACCGAUGGGCGCGCGGAGGAGUUGAGGGGCCAGGGGACCGCGAAAGGCCGAGGCUUGUUUUGGACCCGCCCAAGAGGGAGGUCGGAGGGGUCGCCUCGGAGCCGGCUAGGAAUCGGCCGAGCCCGUUCGGCGCCGCGAGGCCGCGGGAGGAGAUUUUGGCGGAGAAAGGAUUGGAUUGGAGGAAGAUGGAGACGGAUUUUGAUCUUAAGAAGACGAGCAGGCCCACCAGUUCCCAAUCCAGCAGGCCUUCUAGCGCUCAGUCCAGCAGGCCCGGGAGCCCCGGAUCGCAAGGUUUGGCCACGGCCGGCGAGGGCGCACCUAGGGCACGGCCGAAGGUGAACCCUUUUGGGGAUGCGAAGCCCCGAGAGCUUGUGUUAGAGGAGAAAGGCAAAGACUGGAAGAAGAUUGACCUUGACCUGGAGCAUCGCGGGGUUGACAGGUUCGGAGCAAUCUUUCUUGUCUCAAUUCCUUCUUUUAAUUUGAUAAAGGUUCGCUAUGUUAUCUUCCUGUUACUUGGUAUUGCAAUGUUCUGUUGUUCUCUCUGCGUUCUGUGCAGUUAUCUUUACAUUAAUAACCAAAAUAAGCAUCCAAAUUGGUUUUCUCUGAUUAUAGUUUUCGAUGGUUGGAUUCGAAUGAUUCUUUCUCUUGCUGCUUUAGCUGUCAAUUUGCAUCCUAGGAACUUGAAUUAUGUUUUCUUGUUUUUGGGCCUCUACCUCUACUAGGAUCAACAUAGUUCUUUGAUUGAAAUGUCAAUUGGGAACAGUUUUCUUUUAGGCCCUGUACAAAGAUAACUCAGCCGGUACAGUUUUCUUGUUUUUGGGCCUCUACCUCUACUAGGAUCAACAUAGUUCAAUGAUAACUCAGCCGGUACAAAGAUGUUCUUUUGUGAUUGGAAGUUAAGAGUUUAAUUUUUGCACCUUGAAAAAUCUUGGCAUCCGUGAUUUGGUUGGAUAGUAUAGAUAUAUUGUAUUAUGGAAAAAUGACUUGGAAAGCAGAAUAUUGUAUUUAUUCCAGACAUUUGAUUACACUCCUUAUUUAUCACAUACUACGUACUUCUUGAGUAAACCAAAAGGAUAUACCGAAUACAAUAUUCAUGCAUCUAAACAGGGCAUUAUUCUUUCAUCAAUGGUCGUACUUCUGUAAUGUUAAGGAGAUUCAUUAUCUUGCCGUUCCUCAUUUGUAUGUUAUACUGUUUGCAGUUUGUACAUGAAUUUUCUUACAGUAUUCAUCUAUGUGGAGUAAUUUGAACAAGAGGGCAUGUUGAGGAAAUUUAAUAACGAUUUCUCAUUGUCUGAUUUUACAUAUUUCCUUUUUUUCUUGCCUAUUAGCUUCUCUCCUCCAUGUUCUUACUAGCGUCUCAUCUAUUUUUCUUCAUUAUAUUCCAGCAUCAUUUGCUUCUUUCUGUCCUUCAGGUAGCCAAGCCAUAAGACUUCAAACCUGAUCCUUUCUUUUGCUGAUAUUGUUAAACCUGAACAUGUCAUUUCUUAAACUGUAGAAGCUGCCAAGCACGGACUAUAUGUCACACCCAUUGAUCCCAUAUGUUGAUAGAGAAACUGCUUCUCUCUCUCCUGCAUCAUUGUUUGAAAAGUUGUAAUAUUUACGGUUCCAGUCCUUGAAUGUUAAGUAUAAGUAUAUGGAUAAAACAUAUUUUGGCCACAUGUUUUGUAACAUUUAAUUGUGUUCAGCAUGAUUUAAUGAUUAAUUAGUUAAAACAUUUUGUAUUCCUAAUUUUAAAUCUGUAACUAAUAGUUUUAUCUUGAUUAUUCACUCUUCCCACAAAUAUUUGUUUGGUAGCGAAUUAAAAUUUUAGUAUGAUAGUUGUUUUGCUACAAAAUUUUCAAUAAACUUAACUAGGUCCUUCCAAGUUAUGUAUUUUUUUCUCUUGCUGCCGAUUCCUGCAUGCCUUUCAUUUUUUUAAUUUAUUAUGCAUAUGCAUUUAUUUGUUUUAUUACAUGGACAGCAUAUGCUUCGCACAUGCACCUGUUUACUGCAUAACUACUUUGUGGCACCUUUGUCGCUUGGAAAGCAUUUUGCCCUUUAGAAAAAGGCUUUUGGGAUCUUUUCCCUUUUUUAUGUAUUGGCAAAAAUAUAAUUUAAUUCUUCUGCUUGCCUAUUUUACCUUGUUGAUAGUUAGGUUGCUCACUUAUCUAUAUACAACUUAUUAUGUUUACAUUCUUGCUGAUGCUCUUAAUAUUUUGCUUCUUAGCCUUCAAUUUUUCUUGAAUUUCUAUUAAUUGGUGUAGUUUGUUAGAUUAAUUGCUCAAUCUAUCUGUUGUCUAAUUUCAUCUAUAGGCAUAAGAUGUACCCUCUGAUGUCCUAUGAAGCUUUUGUUUGUAAGUUCUUAGAGCCCGUUAGAAUUAUUAAUUGUUGGAAAACAUACCUAGGAAGAUUCAUUUAUCGAAAUGACCCAUUUGGCCAAAUGAGAACUAACUCAGCAUUUGUUUAGACGUUUUUAACCUCAGUGAAGGCCCCAAGAAUAAGGGAUUUGGAGUUAUUAUAAAACCUCCUUACACCAACUCAAAUAGUAUUUCUUUGAAGCUCUGAUGUGGUGCAUAAGGCUAGAAUUGAGCAAUUUUAAUAAAACUUUAUUGAGUAAAUAUGCGUGCAUGUGAUGCAUGUUAAUUAAGACAACUAAUUCUUAUUGAACAAGUAAAAGCAUGCGUUGUUAUGUUGCAUACCUUUGUCACAGACUACAGAGGUAGAUUGACAUUCUCUAGAGACAUUAGAGAACUCAACAUAAAACAUGGAAAGCAUAGUGAGUAGGACACCACUUGAUGGCAUAUAACAUAGAAAAGUUGAUAAUGUAGGAUGAAACAUAGGGACCCUCAGUGAAAAUAUGAAAGCAGCAAUUCUGCUAUCCAUCGACUCGGAGCCAAAUGGGGACGGCAAUUCCAUCCCCCGGCGUUACAGAUCAUUUUGAGAAUUUUUUUUUAAUAUAGUUUGUUUAGAAAAAGUUAAUCAAUUGAAUAUCAUGUUAACACUUUUUUAAAUUCCUUGGUGCACUUUUAGCUCCAUUUUAUGUUGGACAGUGAGUGAACAGCAUAAAAGGAGCCGUGGAUUUUCGUCAACUAUUGAUGGCUAUUAAAUUAAAAGAUUUUGCUUACUUGCUUUGGACUUUAAACAUGUGCAUAAUGAAAGCUUCUGCUUGAGUCGCGUAUUAGUUUAGGUAUGUUGCUGGUGCUUUCAUUAGGAAGACCCUGAAUGUAAGAUUUGCCAUCUGGUUGGCAAGAUUGCUGAUAUAAGGAACUUGGUUGGUAAAUGGUGAAUAAGACCAUCCUUAUAUUGAUAUAUGGAAAUUUCCAAGAGUACUGAUAUGAGGAACUUGGUUGGUAAAUAGUAAGAAGACCGUCCUUAUAUUGAUGUACUAUGAUGUACAUUUGCAUCUACAGAAGUCCUUUCUUUAUGGAGGUCCUGGUAGGUUGGCCCCAACGGCAGACGUAAUUCUGGCAGGAGGCUCUAGUUAUGGUUAUGUCCCCAUAUACUAUCUUCAUUAUUCUCUCUCUCUCUCUCUCUCUCUCCCUGUCUCUCUCUCUCUCACUCUCUCGGAUGUAAUUUCUGGUCAGCAGGCUCAAGAUACGGUUAUGUUCCCAUAUGCUAACAGUGCCUUUAUAAUAUCCUCUCUCUCUCUCUCUCUCUCUCUCUCACACACACACACACACACGCCCCAGUGGAAAUUGUGGUAGUUCUCCUUCAUUUCUAGCCACCACCUAUCCUCUUGAGAAGUUUUGAUUUGUGAUCCUUUCUGCUAUUAUUUGUGUGCCUUUUAAAGCCUUAAAGCCUUAUCAUUUGUAAUUACCCUCAACCUCUGAUUGAUUCUAUUGACCGUUUAUCAUCUUCUCCGUCUUGCUUUUCUUGGACAGAGAUGUUUGAUACUCUCGCAGCCUAACCUAGCUUUGGCAGCUAUUCCAAUAUUGAUUCAGCCAUAUUGACAUUCAGUGGUUAUUGAAAAUUUCAGUUAGAUUAUUAUUAUUUUUUUCCUUUUCAAUAAAAUGUCGGAAGCCAUUACGUGUGUUGUUAUUGUAGAAGAAAAUGAUAGGCUAUGAAUCUAGAGUCAGCUGAAUGUGUUAGUCCUCUCCUAAGAAAACAUUUAACCCCACAAACUGAGAUUCUACUUGUGAAACCGGAUAGUUUUCAAUGUCAUAGUCCUCUCCUGAUCAAUUGUGUCCGGAUCAUACUUUUAAUACAAAAGGAUAUUUGUAAAAAGUAUGUAGCUUAUUUGAACUAUGACUCAUUUUGAAGCAGCUACCUAAUCUUUUAAGAUUUUGAUUUUACUACCCAACAUUAUAAUUCAUUUGAUUUCAACUAUUUGACAGCUCUUUUGUUAUAAAAUUUGUACGCACCACUUGUUCUAAUUGAGUUGUGCUUCCAUAAAUUAUAUGAGAUGCUGUAAAUAACUUUAGUAAGAUAAAUGACAUACUCAAAUUUUAUGCUGAAAAAGUCAUUAAAUGAUUCAAAUCAAAUGAAUAAGUAGGAAAAUCAAAAUUUGAAAGAUUAGGUAGUUGUUUUAAAAUUUGUCAUAGUUUAGAUAAGCUUUAUACAUUUUUUACCAAGGAUAUUUGCUUGUAGUUAUGUGAUUGAAAUAAGCACAAUAACUAUACAUACAGUUCAGAUACUUCUUUUAUACAUAUUUUGACAGUAGAUUGUAGUUCGUUUGUGAUUCAUCGGCCUGGAGAUAAGUCAAAUUGAAGAGAUCUUUAUCUUUCACUUGAGUAAAGUUGGUAAAAGUAAUGACCUUAAAAAGUUUUAUAUUAUUUAUUUUCUUUUAGGAGGCUAAAAUUUGAAACCUAAUUUUGUAUUGGUAUUGGAAUUUUAGGUUCCUUUUUUCUCUCUCAUCUCUUUCUUCAUAUUUUAUUGGUUUGGACAUUCUGAAAGAAUUGCUUCCUAUGAAUAAUAAAGUGGAGAUUCUUUUAUGAUACGAAGUUACUCAAAUUUUCUAAAAUGCAUGUUGUGUGUUGCUUUUGGUAGAUGUAAGCAGCUGUCUUAAUCCUGACUUACUAUUACCCUUACUCUCCUGUGCAAUCAUUUUGUAGAUCAAGUAUGGCAAGUUAUUACAAAGAGCACCUUAAUUCAAAUAAGAAAACUUCAGAUCCACUAUUCGAGUGUAACGCUAGUUAUAAAAUCAUCGCGUGCUUCAUUUUUGUCACCAAUAUCUUCCCUUUCCUGUUCCCUCCUAUCCAAAUUUGCAUGUUAUAAUGUGGAAUUGAUUUUUCAGACCUGAGACAACUGAAGAAAAGAUUCUGAAAGAGGAGAUCAGUAAUCUGAAGGAGGCACUAAAAGCAACUGAGGUGAACACGAAUAACGAAUCUGUACAAGUUUCUGCUGAAGAAGUGACCAAUCUGCGUGAGAAGAUACUUAUAAAGGAGAAGGACCUGGAGUUGUUGAUACAGCAAUUGGACGACAAGGUCCGAUUUGGACAGAGAGGGACCACUGACAAUCGGCCUGGCUCCGGAGCUGGUAGGGUCGCUGCAUUUUCACAAGCUGUUUUGUCAGAAGAUUCGCGGAGUACAGAGAGCAUAGAAAGACCACGUUCUCGUGGUGGCAUGGGCGAAACGUUGCCGAAGACGGUGGAUGACAAAUGGGGUUUCCAGGGAAUUAGAGAUAGGAGCUCCUUUGGUAGCAGAAACCAGGGCAGGUACAAAAAUUCUAGUGUCCUUCCAUUUUUCUCUUGUUUUUUCCCCCUGAAAUUUCACGUGAAACUUCUCUUUCAUAGAUAGGCAGUUAGGUUGCUAUAUUAAACAAUAUGUGAAUCAGUAGGUAUUUUCUAACCAAGUUUUCUCCUCUAUCUGAGAACGGUAAAGUUGUGAAUGAUAUUACCUAAUUUGUCUUUCUUCCGAAUGUUUAAUAAUAUGACAGUGUUGAAGAAAUUCCAAAAUCCAAGUAUCAUAGGAAGCAUUAUAGUUGGGCUUCAUUUACACUCUUACAUGGAAUUUAUUUCAAUUUGCCGUCAUGAGUAUAUUAUACCUUUCUAUUUUAAAGCUAACCAUUCAACUAUUAAUCUCUGCUUUUAUCUAAUUGUGCAACAUGCGUACAUAAUUUUGUGGUGGCCAUAUUGUGAAUUAUACAUGUUACAGCUAAAUGAUUUUUAAGCCUUGUCAAAAAAGAAACUUAUAUUUGUUGGUUCUUUAGAAGUAAUAUAAUAAAGUAUUUAGUUCCGCUUGCUAUUGGAAAUUUCUCUUUGGACGGACAAACUCCAAUUUGUUAGCAAGAUUUCAGUUCAAGUUCUAACUUUAGUUACGCCGGUUCCAAACAGUUGCCUUUGUUUCUUUUUUUUUAUGCUGCAGUUAACUGUUGGUUCUUUUCUUUUCUCUCCAAUAUGUUUUUCAGGUCAAGGUCCAGGGAGAGGUGGUGAAAGCUACCAGUGUGAAUCCUUUUUGUUGUUUUGCUGCUCUUUUGAAACCGGAGACAGAAAAAUAAACUGUUAUUUCUGAUUUUCAACCUUUUGUCGUCUCAUUAUUUCUUUUUUUUUGCUUUUGGAGGGGAGCGAGAAUCUGGAUUUUCAGAGAUUACUUGUUGCUGUCUAAUUAUUAUUGCUACCUUGAUGUGGCGUAUUUGAAUCCGUUUUUCCAUGUCGAGGCCAAGCCGAAACCUUUGACUCACUAAUUACACUGCUUUAUGAAGCAAUGCCUUCUUGGUAUUAUUGUUGGUACUGCAACCAUUUUUUCCGGCAUCCAUAGAAAGAAUUUAUUCUACAGUGAACGCAACUUUUAUCUCAUUAUUUAUCGAAUGCAUGGAUUUCUACUGCUGCGUUCAUGAAGCCUCUGGCUUCUAAUGCUCCAAUUUGCGUUUUAAGUGUUCUUUUCAUUGCGAUCUAUUGUGAAUUGCAAUUAUGCUGCUAUUGAUGUCUCUUUGUUGGUUGGUGUGGCAUGUUUAAGUGAUAUUGAGCUUUAGUAGUUUACUGAAUGUGGAGACACCAAGGAUAUGUUGGAACAUAUGAAUAUUUUGUUCCACAUAUAAUCUUUUUGGCUUGCCUAAGAAAUGUCGAAUCUGGCCCUUUCGGAGUUUCAGCAUUGUAAUUAAAAAUGUUUUGAAAUGUCAAAUCUAGCCCUUUCGGAGUUUCAGCAUUGUAAUUAAAAAUGUUUUGUUUAGUGGCGGACGGUUGGAAGUUGCACUGAUGGAUCUUACGCGUUCAAAAAGUGUGUAUAAGAUUUAGAAGAAUUAUCUGAAUCUUCAGAAUAAAAUUUUUUUUUUUUUGAGAAAGAUCUUCAGAAUAAAAUUGACACCUCAUUUUUGGAUGUUAAGCAACGUUCUGGUUGUUCUAACGGCCGUUUUUUUUUUUUUCUUUUCUUUUUGUUCCUUGUAAGGCUUAACAUUCCGAAAGCCCUCAAUAUUUUUUUUUCCUCAAAUGUGAAAUUUUAAGAUUGCAUCACGCAAUUCAAUCAUAAUGUAUUCCUGAGUUAGGGAUUGUUUGUUAAACUUAAUCUGUGCUCUAAACUCUAUAUAGCCCAAAGGAAUUGGAAGUUCCCUACUCUUGGAAAUGCAUGUAUCAAUCGAGUUUUACGUAGGUCCCGAUGUGGGACCUAUUUUUUUCGUUUUUUUUUUUUUUUUUUUGUUCUCCCUCUCAAUAAGUGUGCACUUUCAAGCACUGACAGAACUCCCACCACAAUGUCUGAGUUCUGGAAACUCAUCAGUUGCAUAGGGUAGGCUUCAAUUGUACCAAACAACUCUUUUAGUAGUCAUAUUCCCUAUAUAAUAAUAACAUGGAUCAGAAGAGGUUUGCCAUUCGCAUAGUUGAUACUUCUCUAGAUUAUUAUUAAUAAGGGAUAUUUACUGGGCUAGCUCUUUCCCAUCUGGGACAUUCACUGUUUACUAGCCUGUCGCUUUGGUGCAAAAAUUACGAAGCGAAGGCAGCAAAGGAAGUGUGGAUGAACCAAGUAGCGAAAGCGAAGAUCUGAAGAUCUUGCCCCUUUCUAUAGACGAUGAUAUUCUCAAUGCAUAGUGAGCGUAGACAAGAAAAAUUGAUCGGAGUGAUGAUCUACACUCGAUAUGUUUUCAAUCUCAAACUAACUAAUCGAUAGCGCAAGAAGAUAAAUGUGCGGACAAAGUCAUUCCAAAAGUUAAAUUUUAGGCAAAUAUCAAAGCUCAAAGAUAAUGCAUUAUUUGGCACGCAUGAUCUAACUAUUGACUUUACUUGUUGGUUGAUCUGCCGAUCUUUGUUGUAAUCUUGUAGUUUAAAUGUAAUCCAUAGUUGGUUGCUGGGGAGGUUGGAUAGAUCAAGCUCAGACCAGGUAAGUAAGAGAAUGUCAUAUUUAACUAACCUUCAGAGAUUUCUUCAUUGGAGAAGAAUCAGAAGAUGCAAUGAAAUUUAUUAAUACUAUUUCGAAUUUCUAGUAACAAGGAGUAAUAAUCUAUUGUAAAAACAACACAAGACGAUUGGAGUAAAAGAUCCGUUAUAACAUUUUUUAAAGAUGAAGCACGGAAAUUUGUCUUAUUUUGAAAGAAUUGAAGAGCCAAUAUUGAAUACAAACGAAGAUUAGAUUGCUCCUUACAAUAGCAGGGCAACAUCCGCGUUUGUCAUUUCCGGUGCAUCAAAACCUCCCAAAAAAUCUGACAAAGAAUUGAAAGGAGCGACUGAGGUUUCCAAAUCAAAUCUCCGAGGCUGCGUUUGGUUGGAGGGAUAUCCCAGAACAAGGCGGGAUAUCCCUCCAAACAUAAUGCUUUUUGGAACAACCGGGUUGUUCCCGGAACAACCCGUUAAGCCGGGAAUAACCCGUUAAGCUUGUUCUCCCUAAAAGGGAGAACAAGCUGGAACAAAAAUUUUGGCCCUUUUUUGUUUUCUGGCCUUUUAAUUGUUUAUACUUUAUUUUAAUUAAUUUCAAAUAAAUUAAAUGAAUGCUCAAAUUUAAUAAAUAAAUAUAUUAGUAUAAGUAUUAUUUUUAUGAUAAUAUAUUUAUACUUAAAUUUUAUUAUAUAAUAUAAAUUAAUUAAAUUUGAUAUAUAUUUUAUUUUAUUAAGUUUUAUCAUUUAUAUAUUAAUAUUUAAUUAUUUUAUUUUAUAUUAAUUAUUAUAUACAUAAAAUUAUUUUUUCAUAUAUUAUAUAUAUAUUUUAACUUGUAUUGAAAUUUAUACUUAAAUUUUUAUGAUAAUAUAUUUAUACUUAAAUUUUAUUAUAUAAUAUAAAUUAAUUAAAUUUGAUAUAUUUUUUAUUUUAUUAAACUCUAUCAUUUAUACUUUAAUAUUUAAUUAUAUAUAUUUUUUUUAUUUGUAUUAAAAUUUAUACUAGUUAUUAAUUAAAAUAUAGGGAUAUUGUUAGUAUUAUACUUUAUUCAUUAAUAUAUUAUGAAUAAAUUAUAUAAAAUAAAUUAUUACAUAAAAUAAAUUAUUAUAUAUAAUAAAAUAAAAUAUAUUAUUUUAAAUUAGAUUCUUACAUAAAAUAUUAUAUUAUAAAUUACUAUAUGAAAUAAUUUUAUAAAUAAUUUUAUAUAAAAUAUACUAAUAUAAAUUAAUUAUUUUAUUUUUAAAAAUAUAUUUAGACGUUGUUCUAGACUUUUUAUCCAAACGCUAUUAAGGAUAUCCUCUAGAAUAUCCUCGAAUGCAUCCAAACAUAAAUUUACAAUUGUUCUAUCUUGUACCGAAAUAUUCCUUGUUCUCGGGAACAAUAAAAGUUGUUCUCCAAAAUUUAGUUCUCUAACCAAACGCAGCCCGAGAGUCCGAGAACGCCGACCACAGCCGCCGCCGCGAUCGCUCCGCUCGCCAGCCCAACCAAGAAGCUCCUCCACGCUCCAUCCUCCGCCGUACCCUGCGGCGGCGGCGCCGUGGGCAGCGGCGGCGCGCUCGGCUCGGUCGCUACGAACUCGGCCGCUCCGCGCACCGGCUCCGCCGAGCGAUCAUCGGGGGCGGCGCCGAGGGGCCACAGGACGCGCACGGCGACGCGGACGACGCAGGCGCCGCCGCGGCGGCGGCGGUGGAGGGGGAGGGGGAGGGGGAGAGCGAGGGCGUCGGCGGCGAGCAGGGGGAGGGAGGAGAGGGGGAGGGAGGCGGAGGCGAGGACGAGGGAGGGGCGGAAGGGGAGGCGGCGGGGGGAGAGGAUCUGGACGGUGAGGGAGGAGCUAGGGUUUCGGAGGAGGUGGGAGGAGAGGGGGAGGUGGAGAAGAGUUGCGGGGGGGUCUAGGGUUAGGGUUAGGGUUAGGGUUUUGGGGGAGCGCUUAUCGACCCACGCGACGAGCUUAAGCUUGCUUUUCAGGGUGUCGGGGUAGAGGACGGUGAGUUCGAGAGUGGCCUCCGCUGCCUCCUCCGACAUUUGUGUCUACUUCAACGGCGAAUCGCUGAGUCUGCGGCGUUUCGGGUUGUUUGACCGGAAAAUAACUCGCCGGGUCAAAUCGAAUCGCAUUAUGGGUUUGGAUUUGAGUUUGAGUUUGGUCACGCCGAAAUUUGGGGCCGACUCGUGUCGGUCAGUCUACUAGACCAACCGAACGUGAGCUAGCCGGACUCUACAGAACUAGGCUAAUAUACUAUUAAUAGCACCAAGUCAUUGGUGCUAUCAAAUUUUUGACCAUUGGAUUAAAAAAUAUGCGAUUAGGAUGAUGUGAGCUCCCUAGGGUUGAAUGGGUGGUUGAUUGAAUAGUAUAAUCUAACGGAUGAAAAUGAUUAAAAGGGUAGAUCUAACAGCGAAAAAUUUGGUAGCACCAAGUGCUUCGUGCUAUUAAUAACAUAGUAGCCGGACUCUAUAUAUAUAUAUAUAUAUAUAUAUAAAAUUGAGCUUCUAUGAUUUUAAAAGUAUCUAGUUAUUAGUGCUUGUAAAUUUUUUGUCAUUGAAUUAAGAGAUAUACGGUUAAAAUGAUGUGGGCCCUUUAGGAUUGAGUGGGAGGUUGGUUGAAUAGUAUAAUUGAAAAUGAUCAAACGCGUAUAUCUAACGGUAAAAAAUUUACAAACACUAAAUGCUUAGUACUUUUACAAGCACCAUAGCCAAACUCUCUCUCUCAUAUAUAUAGAGGCAAUUGUUUAUAUAUCCCUGAAAAGUUUCCGACUUUCCGAUUUACCCAUCUUAGAAGGCUAAUAUUGAAAAUACCCUUUCUAUGUUUCAACCUAUUUCUAAUAUACCUCUAGAGUUAAAAUAGGUUAAUUAACUCUAUUAUCUUUGUAAAAUUACUAUUUUGCCCUUUCAAAUAUACCAUUCCACCAUCACUAACUUUCUUUUUUGCCCUUAAAGUCAGGGGCACAAAAAGUAUUUUGACUUUCGAUUUUUUCCAAUAUACCCUUUACCGUCACCAACAUUUCUUAUUUGCCCUUAAAUGAAGGACAAAAUUGACAUUUUAUUUUUUUUUUUAACUCUGGAAGAUAUUUAACUCAUGUUUAAUCCAAGUUAACUUAACAGGAUAUAACUGCGGGAGUAUUUUACAAAAACGGUGAAAUAUAUGAGGAAUAUUUUAGAAAGAAAAAAAAAGAAUAAAUCGAAUAUUUUCAAACGUAUGAGGGGUUGGGUAUAUAGGUAAUUAUCACACGCGCGCGCGCGCGCACACACACACACACACACACACACACACAUAUAUAUAUAUAUAUAUAUAUAUAUAUAUAUAUAUAUAUAUAUAUAUAUGCAUGCUACUAUACUAUCAAUAGUACCAAGCCCUUGGUACUAUUGAGUUUUCGGCCGUUGGAUGAAAGGAUGUGCAGUUAUGAUGAUAGUGGUCUCCGGUUGAACUGAUAGUGGUCCCCUAGGGUUUAGUGGGUGGUUGGUUUAAUAGUAUAAUCUAACGGAUGGAAAUGAUCAAAAGGUAGAUCUAACGAUAGAAAACUCAAUAGUAUCAAAGGCUUGGUACUAUCGAUAGUAUAAUAGCCGGACUCUAUAUGGCUAUAUAUAUAUAUAUAUAGGCCUUGUACUCAUAAAUUUUUAACUGUUGAUUGAUGGGAUGUAUGGUUAGAAUGAUCGUGAUCCCCACUUAGAAUGAUAGUGGUCCCCUAGAAUUGAGUGGGCAGUUGGUUGAAUAGUAUGAUCUAGCGGAUGGAAAUGAUCAAUGAAAUAAAUCUAAGAACCGAAAACUUAUGAGUAUACUCAUAAAAGUAUAGUAGCCGAACUAUAUAUAUAUAUAUAUAUAUAUAUAUAUGGCGAACUAAUCUCAACUCGUAGUCGGCUCGUUUAUUAAAACAACAACAACGAUGACAUAAUUAUAGUAUGGUAAAAUUAUUGUGCGGUGUAAUUUCAGCAACUGUAUUUGCAAACUGGAGAGAAAAGAAAGAAGAAAGGUGUGUUCGUGGUAACUAUAGCGGGCGAUGCAGAAUGAGAAAGAAAGAAAGAAUGAAUGAAUGAGAAAGAAAGAAAGAAAGAAAGAAAGAAAGGAAAGAAUACAACUUAAUACAGAGAGACGAUUGUUUAAUAUAUCCAAUCAUUCUUGGUGUUUUUUUUUUUUAAACAAAAAAUCCGACAUUUUUUAUCCCACCCACAAGCAACAAGUUUCUACAUAUCCAGGGUGUCCCAAUCAAACUAUAAAUGAGUCCAUAUUGGGUGUUUGUGGUCAAUGUGUUUGUUAAUAUCUUUUUUUCUAUACUAUUUUUAUUCCCUCCAGUUGCAUUCCAUGAUUCCAAUCUUAGAUACAGCAAUCUAGUAACUGCCCUUAUUUUAAUAAGGGUACUUUUCAUUUUGUGCCCCUAUGAUGUGCCCUAUUUGUCAUUUGCCAUUUUGUGAUGAUUAAAAAAAUACAUCUAGUGUUUGUUUAGAUUGAGGGUCAUCUAAUGUUAUUAGUUAACAUAUAAUUAGGGCGAUACCGUCACUAACAUACUUAUUGGAUUAAAAGGAUCAGCAUCCUGUAUUGUGGCGGAAUGUCAGGUUGGAUCGAGUCACGUUCGAAAUAACGUCAAAUCAAGUAAGGCGGAGUCAUGUUGGAAAUAACGUAAGGUUGAUUAAGUCGAGUCACAAUCGAGAUUCAUAGGCACUGUGUAUCUGUAUGUUUUAAGUAAAUUGAUUACGUGUUUCUAAUAGUUCGAAUUUUGAAAUUAAUGAUCAGCACCAGCGAUCCGACAAUACUAUGACAUACUCAACGUGGUAUUACGUACAAAAAUCAAUAAAUUUUUUUUUACUGUAAUUAUUUUUGUUGCAUAUAAUGCAAUCUCUGUGCAUUUCAAACGGAGCCUUAAUACUUCAAUACCUUACAUACAAAUUGUUUCGCGCCAUAAAUGCGCUAAGUUGAAAAUUUUCCAUUAACAUUACGGGCUUGUUUGGUUUAAGGGUGGAAUUGGAAUGGAUAAUGGAAUGAGAAUGAAUUGAAAUGGUAAUUGAAAUGGCCCACUCCCCCAAGACGCUUGGUUUAUUUGUGGAUUGGGAAUUGGAAUGAGUUAUUCACAUUUCAUUGUUUGGUUCGUAUAAACUAAAAAAAUUGUAGGAUACUAUAAUACUAAUUUUACUCUCAAAUAUAAAUUUAUAUUAUUUAAAAUUUAUGAAAAAUAUAAUACCAUUCUCUAAUAAGUUUUUCAAAAAAAUAUCAAAUUUAUUUUUAAAAACUUUUAUUGAUGUGAGUUAGGGAUAGGGUUUUGAGAGAGGAUAGAUUUUUUUUUUUUUUUUUGAUGAGAAAGGGGUGAAGAGAAGGAGGGUGAGAUGGUCACAUGGGCUUCAAAAACUUAGUGGGCUUCCAGAAUGAAAUCUCAAUCCGGGCUAGAAGACUGGAAUCAAGUUGAAGGCUAAUGGGUCAUUCCAUUCCAGCCCGGAAUAGAAAUCUCAAACCGAUUUAUGCGAACCAAACAAAAUUAACCGGAUUUGAUCAAAUCGAUUUCCAUUUCAUACCCAAAAUGGAUGAACCAAACAAGCCCUACCAUUUCUCUUAAUAUUUUAAGCACAAUAAUGGAGCCAUGGCAAAAAAAUCUCAAUUUAAUUAUGUAGAAAUAGAGGUGGUUUUUUGAAAAAAAUAAAAAAUCCAGCUCGGCCACGUGGGAUCUCGGUAGUGGGUGGAAUCCAACUGCAAGACUCUUGUCCGGUAAUUGCGGAAAUAUAAUAAACUAAUUAACAAAAUAUAUAAAAUAUCAGGGACUCAUUUGAGAAUAAUCCGGGUCAAGCCAGCUACAUGCCUGGGCCCCAGUUGACUCCUCUUAAAUAUGCAAACGGAUCCGGGUUGGUUGAGCUCCCGCCCUGAUUCGCCCCGACGGGGGCAGUAAAUGAAAGAAAAUAAACGGAUUCGGGACAGAAAACGGGAUAAAUUUUAUGAUCCGAGACGGAUUCGGAGCAAGAAACGGGAGAAAUUUUGAUCCAUCCUGAAUCCGCCCCACUAUUAUCUGCCCGAAUCUGCCCGGAAAAUCAUUUAUAUUUUAAAAAAAUAUUCUUAAAAAAUAAUGUAUUUACAAAAAAAAGUUCAAAAUACAAAUAAGUUAGUACUCUCAUUUCUAAUGUAUUUGAAACUUUUUGAAUUUUGUUUUGAAUUGUGAUUGAUAUUUUUUUAUUUUUAUAAUUAAUAUUGUUAAAUUAUAUAUAUAAUAUUAUUAAAAAUUAUUAAUUUAUAAUUUAUAAAAUAUUAAUAAUAUUAUUAUUUUAUGAAAAAUAUUAGUUGGCGGGGCGGAUUCAGGGUGCCGGCGGGAGGCAGGUUACGAGGUGGGGCGGAUUAUGGGAUGUAUUUUUUAACCCGUCACGGAUUCGAGGCGGGAGGCGGGACGGGAUUUUGCUAGUCGGGGCGGAAGGCGGGAUGAAAUUUUGCUAGUCGGGGCGGAAGGCGGGACGGAACCCCUGCCCUCAGAUCCGCCCCGUUUGCAUCCCUACUCUUAAAGGAAAUUGUUUUAGCAUCUUGUCCCCAAAUAAAGAUUCAUUCUCAAUACAGUAUUUUACUUUUAAUAGACACUCAAACAGGAAAAAAAAAAACUUUUAAAUCAGUAAUUCGAAGGACGUAAUGUACUCUUUGUCCAAAGCUUAUAAGAUGAAAUGGAACACGAAACACUUAUAAAACUGUAACAAACAGAUCCACCCCCAAUAAUAACUCGUUGGGUCCAAACCAACUCAAAUCACAAACAAACAUAUUAAAAAAUUCUAGAGGUGAUUCCUACAGAUUCAAGAGUUGACUCCGACCAAAUUGAUUGAUGUAGCAUUUUGCCAUGUACUCUCACAUUCGUUGGGAUAGUACUUUGUCCCGCAUAAUAGUUAGGCUUCAUUUAGGAUUGCGGGAGAUUGCGUUACGUGCAGUGAGAAAGUACGUUAGAAAAAUGCGGGAAGAUUGUGUUACGUGCGAUGAGAAAGUACGUUAGAAAAAUACCCUGUUUGUUUCCGUACGUAAUAUUGUGUUCCGCAUAUUGCGAUGAGUCGGUUACGAUAUAUUUUUUGCAACCCCAUCAAAGAACGCAAAAGCAUAUCCCUAUAUGCUUUUUUUUCAACUCCAUUUUAUCUAAUAGUGUUAGAUAGAUCUCAAUACCAAAUUAAGCCUUAGUUCUCACACUUUCGGCUGGUAUACGAUUUGAUACCAAUUAUAACGAUUCGAUCCGCUAGUAAUAAUAACUCGUUGGGUCCAAACCACCGACCCAAAAUACUUAAGUUCAGUUAUUAUUAUUAACGUGUAAGGUCUAAAUAUAUACUAAUUAGAAUUAUUUUUUCAUCAAAUAUGAAAUUAUUAGGACGUUACAGGAACAGUGUACAUUAAACAAAUAAAACAAAACUAAACAGCAGCACAUGACGAUGGAAAAAUUAUAGUGUAGAGUGGCACAAUUCAAUACCACAAAUUCCAUAUAAGAUAAUAAUCCUAUGUCAUCUAGCGCCAAUACUUAUCAACAAUUUCAAAAUCAAUUAAGUUUAUCUUGUUCUUUUUUUAUAUUGUGCUUUUCUACAUAAUAUCCAAACUAAAAAAACUUUUUUUUUUUCUCUGAAUGAUAUAAUAAUUAGUACUUUUGUAGUCAAUUACUCAUAUUUUUUUCAACAUUAUUCUUAUUGAUAAUAAUUAUAUUAAAUUAUAUUAUUUUAUAUGAAGCUAAUUAACAAACUGACAAAGAGCACAUGCAACCAUGGAAAUUAAAGAAGGGUUUCCUUUCCAUUGGAUUCCCAUGCUGGGGGUUUCCAACACCUUUUGCUGGCAUCUUACUCACUUUCUCACAAGCUCAAAGCUGCUUAUCAUUUCUUUUUAAUAAUUAUACGAUCAGAGUUGAGAAUAGAAAGAAAAAAAGAAACAAAAAAUUAAGAGAGAGAGAGAGAGAGAGGGGAUAAAAUUAUUCUCUACACCUGAUCUAUCUGUAUAUCUCAUGCACCGCAUUUCGCCGAUUCAAUUUCAUCAUUCAAUACCACUAAACCAGCUUUAAGUCUUGCGUCGGAACCGACCGUCCAAAGGGCUUGGUGGUUGGUACCCGAGACCAAAGUUUGAAUUCUAAUUGAUUCACAUUUCCGGCUAAGUUUAUUUCUAAAUGAAAUAAACGAAGCGGAUAGUGUGCUACCUAUUUUUCAAAAAAAAAAAGAAGAGUAGUUAGAAAAAAUCUUUUUAAUAACAAAAAUCUUAUACAUGAAUACCGAUCGACAAUCUAACUAACAAAUUAUAAUCUUACACACGAAUACAUACGCAAAGAAAUUCUUAUGACAUCUUUCUAGCGUGAAGUUACUACGGUUACGAAAAAAGGCUUUUUUAAGUAAAUGAAUAUAUGAAUGCGGUGCAUGAGAUACACCAAGAGAGGUUAUGUGUGUGUGUGUGUGUGUGUGUGUGUGUGUGUUGUGUGGUGGAUUUGGAUAAAGGGAAGAUAUGUGGAAAGGAGAAACAAGCAUGUUGGUGUGAAUCCUAUCUGGCACACAUUUCCGUGAUGUACCUUCUUUUCGAAGACCAGCUGUGUAUCUAACUUCCAUUUUUUUUUUUUUUUUGGAAAAAAUUUUAAAAAUCAUUUCUAUGAUUCCCUAUUUCUCACUUUAAUACUUUAUGAUUUAAAAUGCGUAUCAAUUUCAUUCUUUAUAAUUUUUUUUAUUUUUUAUUAUUCCAUACAUUAAUUUUUUUCAUUAAGUUAGUGACAAAACAAAACUAAAGAAGACAAAAGUAAAUGUUUGAUAAACUAUAGAUAGAGUAUCUGCAAUUUUUUAUAUAUAAUUUAACGAAAAGUUAACGGAAGUCGUGACGAAAAGAAAAAAUGAAAUCACAGAGCAUUAAAUUGAUAUAUUUUAAACCACAGAAUGCUAAAAUGAGAAAGUGUAAAAUCACAGAAAUAAUAUUUAAAAUUUAUUUACCAUAUACUUCCCCCAACCCAUGUGCUUGCCCCAUCUAUCUCUCUCUCUCUCUCUCUCUCUCUCUCUCUCUCUCUCUCGACACUUCACCACCACCACCUCCCCUUUCUCAAACAAAGCAGCUCAUUCAGCUAGAUCCAAAUAUAUGCAUUACAAUCUUUGUAUUAUAAUAAUUUUUUUUAGAAAAAACUUAAGAAGGGAGAUCCUUACAAUAACAUUGUAACCAAGGCAAAUGGAAAUUAAAUCUAUGUAAAAAUGUAUUGAACCUCUCUCAACUAUAUAUAUAUAUAUAUAUGGCAUGUUUUUAGUUAACCAGCUACCUCUUACUUUCUUAAUUUUUUUUUAUUACAAACUUUCUAAUUGAUUAAGUUUGAAAUUUCGUCAGAUAAAAUAAAUUUAAUUAUUAAUUAGCUAUCAGAUGAUGAUUAUUUUGAUUUCAUUUACUAAAAAGUGAUCAAACAAACCACUAAUUAUUAAUUAAGAAAGUGUCAACAUGCUCACCGCCUAAAAUGUACAGCAAAUUAAUUAAUCAAAACAACACUUUUCAAAUUCUCAUUUUGGUGUCAAAUUAAACUUCUUACAGCAAAUCAAAUGGUGCGUGUUCAUGCAUGCAUCAUUCCAAAAUUAAUCCAAAAGCCAAAUUAAUUACUCGAUCCCUAUAUGGCUCCUCCAUCGAUCCUCAUGCAUGCAUAUCCCAUCCAUGAUCAUCAAUCCAACUUCCAAGCGUAGAGAAACAAGCAGUACCCUGAACACCCCUCCACACCUGCAGCAGCAGCAGCAGCAGCAGCAGCAGCAGCACUACUGCUAAUGCUACUACUCUUCUUCUUCUCCGUCGGGCUCGGCGACGACGACAGCAGCGACGACAGCGUGGCGGACGAAGAGGACGACGUGCUCGAACACGCCAUCAUCGGAGUCGGCUUGAAUAUGAACAGCGCGUGCCGCAACCCCGGGCUGAAGAGCCAGUUGUGCACGUCCCAGUACACCUCCACCUUCGCCUUGCUCACGGUUAUGCUCUGGUUCCCCCGGAAUUUCCACUGCAGGUGCUUCACGGUGAUCGUCUCCUCCCCGUCGAUGGAGAUCGCCAUCUCCGAAUCGAAGCUACUGCCGCCGCUCUUGCACUCGAUCGUGAUCUCGUGGGAUCUUCCCUUCUCGUGGAAUUUGGAGCGCGUCGAGAAGGUCUUUCGCCCGAAGAUGUGUUCUUUUCUGGAGACCAAUGCGGCUUCGAUCGGGGCCGGCUGGCGGCCGGACUUUCGGUAGGCUUCUUUCCGGAGGUCUCCGAGGAGCAGCGCCAGAUCGCCGUCCGCCGCCACCGCGACGUAGUAGCUCGACUUCGGCUCCGGCUCCCCGCAGAAUUUCGCGCUCCGGAGGUCCCAAAACACUUCGACGGCCGUCCCGCCGGCGAGGAAGCGCUUCGAGCCGUGCCUGCGCCAGAACUGCCACGGCCGCAGCUCGACUUUGCAGUCGAUUGGCGCGGAAUUGGCGGCAUCGGCAUCGGCAUCGGCAGCAGCAGCAGCAGAAUCGGGUGCUCCGACGGCGACGGAGAAGCCGUGGCCGAGGAGGUCCCGGCACCAGGUGAUGGUGAUCGGCCUGCAGCGGCCGCCGAUCUUGGUGCGGUACACCGACGCCACGACGCUGCGGCCCGGCUUGGCGGCCGUGGCGAUCGCGGCGGGAUCGACGUCGUCGGCGAAAUGAUGCCUGUUGUUGUGAUCAUGACCACCAUCACUGGGGAAGAAGCAGGAAGGGAUGAUAGGAAAGGGGUCUUGCAUGGUAAUUAAUUGAUAUGAAAAAAAAAAAAAGAAAAGAAAAAAGAGUUGAGUUUGUGUAGAGAGAGAAUGCAAUUGGAAGGGGAUAGGGGGAAUAAUGAGAGAGAGAGAUAUAAUAGAGAUAUAGAGAUAUAGAGAGAGAGAGAGAGAGUGUGUGUGUGUGUGUGGUGUGGUCACUCCUCAUCAUCAACAAUUUAUUUAAUAAUAAAAAAAAUGAUUUAAUAGUUGAGAGGAGUUGGAGAGGGAGCCCAAUCAUUUCGGGGUGAAUUAAGCUGGGGACAGAGGAGAUGCAUUGAUAGUGAAAAUUCAUUUUCCUAGUGUGGGUGGGGACGAAGUCAUAUGAACAGUUUCUCUAUCCUAACAUGUUACUUUAAAUAAUUCUUUAAAUAUCAAAAAAAAAUAAUUUACAUGGUUUUUAGAAAAGAUUUUUUUCUAAAAUAAUUAUAAUUUUAAUCUUGAUAAAAACAGAGUUAUUAUUUUAAUUUUAUUUUAUUUUAGGCUUAGUUAGGUAUUGAGAUGGAUCUAACGCUAUUAGAUAGAAUGAAAUUGAGAAAAAAUAUAUAAAGAUAUACUUCUACGUUAACUGACUAACCGCAACAUGCAGAAUGUAAUAUUAUGUAUAAAAAUAAAUAAAAUAUUUUUUAAUAUAUUUUUUUACCGCACGUAAUCUAAUGUAACUUUUGGUCACACACUUUCUUUUUUCUUUCUUUUCUUUUUUUUUUUCUUCAAAUUAAGACAUUUGGUCAAAGUCGGGUCAACCGCAUAGAUCGUGGUCUUGCCGUUAUUCCACUCAUACCCGGUGAUUUUGCACACCUGGUUUUUCAGAAAUUAGCCCAGAUAAUAAUUUUCUAGCUGGAAAACUAUUUUUUAUCUGUUUAAUGCUUUUUAAAAAUUUAAAUUUUAUUAAAAACUAGUAUUUUAUUUUUCAAUUCUUUUAUUUAAAAAAUAAAAACUUUAUAAUUUUAGGUCGCCCAUUUUUUAUGACCGAUCGGCUAUAAUAAUUUUCGAAUCAGUUCCAGCUCCGACUAUUGGGAGUGUCAGGUCAUGAGUUCGAUUGAAGCGAGUAUGUAAAAUUUUAGGUAAUGUUUGGUUCAGAAAUAAGGGGGAAUAAGUUCUUGUUCCCUCUUUGUUCCCAAACGUGAUGUUUGGUAUCCGGGAACAGUAGUUCCAAGGUUUCAAGAACAAGCUGGUAUAAGACUGGAACUCUUGUUCCACCAUUUUUCUGGAAUAAGUUUGUUCCUUAAUGAGAACAAGGUUAAUUAAAAUCUAAAUUUAAUUUUAAUGGCAGUAAAUUAUUAAUUAAUCUAAUUAAUAUAUUUAAAUUUUUAUUUAUUGCUUUAAUAAUUAAAUAAUUAAAUAAUUUAUUAUUUAUAAUUAAUUAAUAAUAAUUAGAUAAUUAUUAUAAUUAAUUUAUUAUUUAUCAUUAUUUAUUAAUAAUUAUUAAUAAUUAUUAUCCUUAUUAAUUAGAUAAUCGAUAUUAUUAUUAAUAAAAAUUAGAUAAUUGAUAUUAUUAUUAAUUUAUUAUUUAUAAUUAAUUAUUAAUAAUUAAUAAUAUUUAUUAAUAAUUAUUAAUAAUUAUUAUCCUUAAUAAUUAGAUAAUCGAUAGUAUUAUUAAUUUAUUAUUUAUAAUUAAUUAAUAAUAAUUAGAUAAUUAUUAUAAUUAAUUUAUUAUUUAUAAUUAAUUAUUAAAUUAGAUAAUAAUUAUUAUUAAUUUAUUAUUUAUAAUUAAUUGUUAAUAAUUAGAUAAUUAUUAUUAUUUAAUUUAUUAUUUAUAAUUAAUUAUUAAUUAUUAAUUUAUUAUUUAUUUUUAAGUAAUAUUUUGAUGUUAACUAAUUAAAUAAUAUAAUUUAAUUUCAAAUUAUAACUCUUAUUCCUGUUGUUCCAAUCUAACCAUCCAAACAUUAUUUACCUUAUUUUUAGGAACAACCCAAUUUUCAUCUAAACGCUGGUUACCUGAAUUUAUACCUAUCUCUGAAACUAGCAAUUCUUCUUUAUACCCAAACCAAACAAUGCCUUAAUGAAUUAAUGGGCGAUUUCUGUAUGUUCGAUUUAUUCAACUUUUUUUUUCGGAUGGCUUUUUGGAUCAUCCAUUAUCUAGCCAGAUCGGUUUUGGUUCAAUUAGCCCCUCAUUUGAAAUGAGUCGGAUCAGUUUGGGUCAAUUUGAUCCAAACCCGACCCGAAGGUAGAGCAAUCCGUUAGUUGAUUUGCGUACGAAUGAAUAAAUGAAUAGCUUUUUCGGUUUUUAUAUUUUCCUUAAAAAUCUUUAGAAAAUUAAUGUACUUAAAUAUUCUUUAUACUUAAACUCUGAGGCUUCGUUUAGUUCAGGGUUAAGUAAGAACUAGUUAUUCCAGAGAUAAGGUUAAGUUCUGGAUUAAAGUGGAAUUAGAGUAAUUUUGUGUUUGGUUGAGAACUGGGUUUAGUCCAGGUAUAAGAAAAAUAACGUUUGGCUGGAGUAAGUGGAAUAAGAAGGAUUGUGGGUUGUUAUAAAUAAAAAAUAUUAAUUUUGCCCUAAUUUUUAUAUUUGAAUUUAAUUAUUUUAUUUUAUAUUUCAAAUUUCAAAUUUAAAUAGAUAACUUUCAAAAUUACAGAAUUCAAAAUUAAAAUUUAUUUUUAAAUCUCAAAUUUAAAAAUUUAAAAUUUCAAUUAAAAAAAUUAAAUUUAAAAUUUAAAUAAUUAAAAAUAAUAUUUUAAAUUUUAAAAUUUAAAAUUUAAAAUUUAAAAUAUA
Molecule: long non-coding RNA, 54882 nt
Filed under: Ananas comosus (pineapple)
Lineage: Eukaryota; Viridiplantae; Streptophyta; Magnoliopsida; Poales; Bromeliaceae
Description: long non-coding RNA (ACOM_LNC025372)
Source: RNAcentral